RNAcentral lists this long non-coding RNA (80259 nucleotides) under Medicago truncatula (barrel medic). RNAcentral describes it as "long non-coding RNA (MTRU_LNC008229)". The record is from RNAcentral. Lineage: Eukaryota; Viridiplantae; Streptophyta; Magnoliopsida; Fabales; Fabaceae.
GUUAGUAUAUAUGUGUGAAAAAUUGUAGUGGCAAGAAACUUUUUUUAACCCUAUGUAAAGAAAAUGUUUAAAAACUAAAUUGGUUUGAGAACAUGUUUUCUAUUUUUAAUUACAAAAUUAAGUGUUAGAAGAAGAACAGCUACGCCGACAUGGUCGACAAUUUAACAAAAGUUCCAUAUCACAAUAAAUAUCUACUUAGCAUAUGUUUGAAACUACGAUGAGAUUACUCUCAACACACGACCACCAAAAACUUAUAUCCUUAGCUUCAGGUUUUUUACGGUAAAACAAAAUGGGAAACAAGUAUUAAGAAUUAACCCUUCAAAGAAAGUAUUAAGAAUUAUGAUACAUAACAUAAAUAGUGGAAGUCAACAAAGCAUUUUUGAUGACAUUAUUACUAGUAUUAAUUUUAUUUUUUUUUGAGGGGAAAGUAUUAUUAUAUUAUAUUAUUAUAUGCGUUUAAUGGAGAUCUAAUGUCGGUGUAAAAUUAUUUUACCGUCGGUAAGACCAAAAAUAAAUAAAUUAUUUUACCAUGACAACUAUGACAAUUCACCAUACUACCAAAUAAGCCCAUUUAAAAACAGUUUUUCAAUACUUGACCAGAAAAACUAGUAUUUUUUAAAAGUAACAUCAAAUAUUUGACUUGUUGAUUGUCAAGUGUAUAUCCUCUUUUCUUUUAGUGUUAUGUUAACUUGUAUCCUAAGAGUAUAAGAUAAGAAACUAAAUGUAGAGAUUUAACUUUGAAAUUUGUACAUCAUAAUUUUUUUUAAUGACACAUUGUGCAACAUAAUCUUAAAAUCUUUUUUUUUCUAAAGGAUAAUCUUAAAAUCUUAAAAACUUAUAUUUUCUUUUAUUAUAUAUAUAUUGGAUUAUUUGUUACUGUGUUUUUUAUAUAAUUUUUUUUUUAUGAGAAACAGUAAUUUUUUAAAAUUAUUUUUAAUAGCUUCUUAUACUAAUUUUUAAUAGGCUUAAUUGCACUUUUGGACCGCUAUCUUUNNNNNNNNNNNNNNNNNNNNNNNNNNNNNNNNNNNNNNNNNNNNNNNNNNNNNNNNNNNNNNNNNNNNNNNNNNNNNNNNNNNNNNNNNNNNNNNNNNNNGAUGCCACGUCAGCGUUGACCGAGUCAACAAUGAAUUUGGGGUCCAAAACUGCCAAAGAAUCAAAACAUAAGGGGCUGUUUUGUAUUUAAAUUAGUUAGGGGUCCAUAACCGCAACUUUUGAAAAGAUAGGGGUAUAAAAGUGCAAUUAAGCCUUUUUAAUAACCUAAUUGAACUAAGUGAAUGUCCAUCAUGUUAGUAAUUUGUGAAACGAAUCAAUUAUUAUGAGCAGGUGGUGAAACAAAGUAUGAUUUGCACAAAGUGGACUUAGUAGAUGAUGUUAACUUUGCUUACAACUACAGCAUAGUUGGUGGUGGUGGACUUCCAGACACAGUGGAGAAGAUCUCCUUUGAGUCUAAAUUGUCUGCAGGGCCAGAUGGAGGAUCCAUUGCAAAGCUUACUGUGAAAUACUUCACCAAAGGUGAUGCUGCACCUAGUGAAGAGGAAAUCAAGGGUGGCAAAGCUAGGGGUGAUGGUCUUUUCAAGGCUCUUGAAGGUUACGUUUUGGCAAAUCCUGAUUACUAAAGCAUAUAGCUAAUUGCUUGCUUGCUUUAUACAUGGUGUGUUGUGAUGCAUUUUAUUAUAUCAUGUGGGCUUGAUUUGGUUGCCAAAUGUAAUUUUCUAUUUUCCGUUUGCUGAAGUUUGAGAUUGUAAGUCAUAUGUGUACCUCCCUUCAAGAAAUUAUAAUAAUACUUCAUCUAUUCAUUUUUACUUUUUUUUUAAAAAAAUAAAAAUUGUAUGCAACUAUUUAUAUGUGGCUUUCGAAUUUUAAGGUUAUUGUUAGAACGAAAACUAAUAACUGAAGAUUAAAUAAGAGAACGAAAGAAAAAACAAUGAACAUACAAUAUUUUUUAACACAGUUCAAUCAAUUGUACCUACCUAUGUGACUAUAGAUCAACUAUUGUUCUAUUUCUAUUACUGUGACAAGAAUUAGGGUUUCAUAUUACAAGCUGUAUAUAUGAAUUAUAUGUUAAGAGUCCCACAUCGGUUAGGAGUUGGCCUGACAAUUUAUUUAUAAGUGGGGGGCAAUCCUCACCUCACAAACUGAUUUUGUGGGGUUGUGUUAGGCCUAACCACGAUUUCUAAUUCUAUACUUCAUCAGUUAUACUCAUCAAUCUUUUAGACUCUAAGAUAUCUUGGUUAACCAAAAAAUAAUUGAACAUAAGACAACCCAUUCUCCAUAAAACAAUUCUCACACAAUCUUUCCAUAUCAACAUACACCGUGGCUUCUUAAAAAUAAUAAACCCUAUGAGAAAAGUAAAAAAACGAGGCAAUCUUGAGAACAUAGUGGCCAAAUAUUAGAGGACAAUUGGUAUGAAAUGAAUAAAAAAGGGAAAAAUCUUACAAAUGAAUGAAGGAGUACAAGAGUGUUUAUAUAAUGGAAGCAUGAAAAUAACUAUAACUAGAUCAAAAGAGAAAAGAGUAAAUGUCCUAAAAUGUCCUCUAUCUCUCUUGGUAUGAUUCUUUCUCUUAUCUUCUUCAUUGUGCAAUAUCCUCCCACAAGUUGGAGGUUGGUAGAUAUCCAACAUCCCCAACUUGGAUAGAAGAAGAUUGAAAGGCUGCAGAAGUAGUGACUUGGUGAAGAAGUCUGCAACUUGAUCUUUAGAGGAAAUAGGUAGUAGCUUGAAUAAUCCAGCUUACAUUUUUUCUCUAAUAAUAUGGCAGUCAAUCUCAAGGUGUUUGGUAAUUUGUUCAUGAAAGACUAGAUUAACAGCGAUGUAGAUAGCACUUUGAUUGUCACAGUAAUGAACAUGUGCUUUGGUACAUUGAAUCUCUGAUAAGGUAAAGCAACCAUUGCAAUUAACAACUAGUAGAUGCAAGUGCUCGUUAUUCAGCUUCUAAUGUGAUCUAGAGACUGUAAGUUGUUUCUUUGUUCUCCAAGAAACAAGAGAUUUGCCAAGAAAGAAUCAUUGACCAUAGAUUUACCACUUUCUUACAUGGAAUAAUUUGGUGAAUUUGCCAAAUUUGACAUCACAUCAUCGCGAUAUCUAAAAUUGUAUCGUGCAAUGAAGCGUGUCUUUGGUUUCAUGGUACAUAAAUACAAAAGUGAUUUUAUACACAUAAAAUUAAUUCUAAUAUGUGAUGUCUACCGAAUAUGUUUCUUUAGAAUUGAUUGUAUAAUUUGAAACUUUUAACUCUAAACUACAUUAAAGUUUACUGUUCAACCCAUCUACUAUUAAUUUAAACAUAAAUCAUAUCACAAUCAUCUCAUUUUUAACUAAAAUUAUUUUAACAAAAUCCGGUUGACAAAAUUCUAAUGAUAUCAUGAUCUUACUGAAGAGUCAAAAUUAAGCUUUUGAUCAAUUGCAGUAAUUCAUCGUAAUUUUGACAUAUAUGCUGUUUAUAACUAAAAAAAAAUUAUUGGUAAUGUUAACUUGUGUUCUAAGGGCACAUGUUAAGGAACUCAAAAAUAACAAUUUUACAUUGAAAAACAUAAUAUUUUAACUUUUAAGAAGUUAAAUGCACAACUUUUUGAUACGUACUUCUAUAAUUAGUUCUUUAACAUGUGCCCUUAAGGACAAAAAUUAGCAUUUGUCAUAAAUUAUUUGUAUUAAAUUCAACGUUUUUUCUUCUUCUUCUCUUUCUUCUUUCUAGAAUGGCGCCUUGAAUUGUUCAAAAAAAAAAGAAUGGCGCCUUGAGACUGCAAUAUUUAUAUAGACCGCAAUAUUUUCUCCAAGUUGAAUACUAUGCAAUACUAUAAGACUAGGACUCCCGAAUUUCCUCUUCUUUUUUGGAUAAUAUGAAGCAGAAAGAGUACACAUUUGUUGAAUAUAAUGCCGUAUAAUACGUGGUUCUUUGAAUGCUUCCAACUCAAUUUUUGACCUGUACACAAAAUUCUUCAGACUCACCUUAAAAUAAACCAUCUUGACAGUUUGUUAUUAUUUUUUUAAAGAGCAAAAUACGUCAUCGAAUUAAAGAAUAUUAAUCAAUUAAGUAAUUAAUUUUUUUGGUCUUGAUCAAUUAAUUAAUUAUACCAGCGGUAAACAUAAAAAGACGGAUCUACAGUCACGCGGCAACAAAUCCAAAAAAGUAUGUCAAUGUCAUAUUAUUUGGUAAAUAUUUUAUUUAUCAAUUUCAACUUUCAAGUUAAUAAACUAAGACCUCUCAAAAAAGGUAAUAAACUAAUAAGAAUAUUCUCUCAACAAAAAAUAAAACUAAGAAGAAUAUAUUUUGCUUAUUUACCGAAAAAAUAUUUUGCUUAGUCUAAAGAAGAAGAAUAUACUUUGCUUCAGCAAAAAAUGUAUUUUGUAUGUAUUGUAGUUGAGGUUUAUCAUAAAUUCAUAAUGCUAUUGUAGUUGAUAUGAGACGAAUAGUCCUUUAUCUUUUUUGUCCUUUAUACCAUAAAAGAUUAAAUCGAAAAAAGAAAAAGAUAAAAGACGAAAAUGUUACUUAAUUAUAACAUAAAUUAUUAAAUCAAGAAGAAAUGAUAAAUGACGAAAAUGUUAUCUCAAAUUAAGUCAAGGCACGAAAAAUGUAAUUUUGUCAAUUAUAUAUAUUGCUUAAGUUUUUAUUUAUUUUAGGUCAAAUACCUCUCGGAGUCCUUUAAGUUUCACGUUUGUAACGGAUAAGUUUUUUAAUUUUUUAAAGUUUCAUAUUGGUCCUUUAAGUUAUUGAAAAAUUAUGUCGUUAACCUUUCAGUCAACCUCCGUUACAAAAACGUUGAGAUGUCCAUUAUGAUUGACAUGAUAUAAGGCGCCGCGUUUUUUCCAUUCCAUCGUGUUCCAAUUUGAAGAAUCUAGGCAAUUUGAAGCCAUGCUUUUCUUAAAAAAGCUUCAAAUUGGUUGUUAAUGAGGUUAGGGUUUUCAAUUUGGGGAAGAAUGGGUGAAGAUUGAAGAAGAGUGAUGAGGAAUGUGAUGGGGUAGUAUUGGAACACAUUGGAUAGGCCAGAACAUGGCGUUUUAUGCCACAUCACAUAUUUAACGGACAAUUAAACUUUAUUGUAACGGAGGUUGACUGAAAGGGUAACGACGUAAGCUUUUAAUAAUUUAAAGAACCAAUCUAAAACUUUAAAAAUUUAAAGGACUGAUCCGGUACAAACGUAAAACUUAUCUCAGGAGAUAUUUGACCUUUAUUUUAUAUAUGUUGUUUUGCAUUGAAAUUUGAGUGGUCUUGGAGGAGAGAAAAACAAAAAAGAAAAAUAAAUAGUAGAUGCAAUCAAUAAUUUUGUUAGUCCAAAUAAUAGUUUUCUUUAAAAAUAAUAUCGUCCAAACUCAUACAAUUAAAAAUAGUAUUCAAAUUUUAUGUCACGUCACAAUGAGAAAAAAUAGCCCAACGACCUUGUUUUACACAUCAUCAUCAUCAUCUAAUGGCCUAUCUAAAGUCUAAACUAUACAUCUUCUUUUCCUAUAAAUACAAGAGUGAACUCCACUAAUAAAUCACACAGGCAAACAAUUAACUUCUUAAUAGUUUGUUAUUUCAUACAUUAAUUAGAAAUUUAUAAUUCAUUAUCAUCAUGGGUGUCUUCAACUUUGAGGAUGAAACCACAUCUAUUGUAGCUCCUGCUAGACUUUACAAAGCUUUAGUUACAGAUUCUGAUAACUUUAUCCCGAAUGUUAUUGAUGCCAUCCAAAGUAUUGAAAUUGUUGAAGGAAACGGUGGCGCCGGAACCAUCAAGAAACUUACUUUCGUUGAAGGUUUUUAUUUUUAUUUUUUUAUUAUAAGUAAUCUAAUGGUUAGAAAUCUUAAUUCUUAAUACUUGUUUUUCAUAUUGUUUUACGAUAAAAAACCUGAAAAUACACAUAUAUGUUUUUGGUAGAUUACUCUCAACACACACGUAUAUCAAAACUUAUAUUUGCAGUUUCAACAGUAAAACAAUAUCGGAAACAAGUAUUAAGAAUAAGGCUUAAUUGCAGGUCUGAUCUCUUAUGUUUACUUUAGUUUUUAAGUUGAUCCUUUAUGUUUUAAAAGUUUUAAGUUGGUCUCUUACGUUUUAAAAGUUUUAAGUUGGUCCAAAACGUUACUCACGUUGGAAUAAGUUAGUCCCUCCAGUCACUUAACGUUUAAAGAUCCAUGUUGACAAUAUGGGUGAUGAAACUUAACUUAUUUAGAAAAUCAAUUUUAAAACAUUUUUUAUUUUUUUUUGUUUUAUUAAACUCAAUAUCAUGUCGCGGAAGGACUAACUUUAUUCCAAUGUGAGUAACAUUUGGACCAACUUGAAACUUUUAAAGCGUAAGGGACCAACUUAAAUCUUUUAAAACAUAAGAGAGUAACUUGAAAACUAAAAUAAAUAUAAGUGAUCAAACAUGCAAUUAUAAGCCUAAAAAUUAAGAUAUAUAACAUAAAUAGCGGAAGUCAACAAAACACAUGAGAAUAUUCUUUUGAUGACAUCAUUACUAGUAUUUUUUUUAAAGAAAUCAUUACCGGUAUAUUAUUACAUCAUAGAUCUUAUCUUCGUGAGUUUAGCUCAGUUGAUAGAGACAAUGUAUAAUAUAUGCAAAGACCGAAGUUCAAACAUCAGUCACCAUAAAAAAAAAAUUAUGGAUCUUGCUAACAAGUGCCCUAAAAGCAUUGUUUAAAGAACCCACAAAAAUAAAUUUUGUCUUGAAAAUAUAAGGCAAACACAUGUAAAAAUCAUAACUAUACAAUUUUCAAUAUAAAAAUUACUAUUUUUGAAUGCUUAAAUAGUGCCCUAAGAACACUUAUUAACAUUUUUCUGAUAUUAUAUGUGCUUAAUAGAGAUCUAAUGUCGGUGUCUCAUAAGUCAUAGCUCAACUGGCAAAAAUACCGAAAUUGUUAUGCCGGACGUCAUGACCGGGGUUCGAACCUCAAUACCUCCACUUUGUGUGUGUGAGUUUAUGGUGGCUUUGCCAUCUCUUCUAUAUACCAAAAAAAAGAGAUCUAAUGUCAGUGUAAAAUUAUUUUACCGUGACAAUUAUGACAAUUCACCAUACUACCAAAUUAGCCUAUUUAGUAACCCUUUUUCAAUACUUGAUAGAAAAACUCUUUUUUGAAAGUAACCACCAUAUGUUACUCUUGUGGAUUGGAUUAUUUGUUACUAUGUUUUUUAUAUAAUUAUUUUUUUGUGAGAAACAUAAUUUUUUUUUAAAUUAUUUCGGCUUAAAUACAAUUUUGAUGCCCCUAUUUUUAAAAUUGUUAAUUUUUGAUACCUUUAUUUUUAAAAUCUGUUUUUUAUUCAAUUAUUUAAAAGGCUUAAUAGCAGUUUUAGCCCUUAAAUAUUACGAAGUUAAGAUUUUGUCCCCUAACAAAAUAAAAUACAAUACAUCCCCGUAAGUACUGCCCUUUUUGUAGUUUUGGCCGCUCAGACCAAUUUUGACCAAGUCAUUACUUAUGUAGACGCAACGUGUGUAUUUUUUUUAAUUAUUAAAAAAUAAUUAAAAUAAUAAUUUUUUUAUAAAAAAAAUUAAAAAAUUGAAAAUUAUACACGUGACGUCCACACAGCAUUUACUUGGUCAAAAUUGGCCUGAGGGGCCAAAACUGCAAAAUGGCAAUACUUAGGGGGAUGGAUUGUAUUUUAUUUUGUUAAGGGGCCAAAAUCGCCUAAUACUUACGGGGCCAAAACUGGUAUUAAGCCUAUUUAAAAAGUCAACAAAAUAUUUUGGUUUCAUUCCUCUCUGAAUGAUGUGGCAUGUCCAUUAAUGACAUGAUGUUUGUGAUUGAACUAAGUGAUUUCCAUGAUGUUUAUGAUUGUGAAACGAAUCAAUUAUGCGCAGGUGGUGAAACAAAGUAUGAUUUGCACAAAGUGGACUUAGUAGAUGAUGUUAACUUUGCUUACAACUACAGCAUAGUUGGUGGUGGUGGACUUCCAGACACAGUGGAGAAGAUCUCCUUUGAGUCUAAAUUGUCUGCAGGGCCAGAUGGAGGAUCCAUUGCAAAGCUUACUGUGAAAUACUUCACCAAAGGUGAUGCUGCACCUAGUGAAGAGGAAAUCAAGGGUGGAAAAGCUAGGGGUGAUGGUCUUUUCAAGGCUCUUGAAGGUUACGUUUUGGCAAAUCCUGAUUACUAAAGCAUAUAGCUAAUUGCUUGCUUGCUUUAUACACGGUGUGUUGUGAUGCAUUUUAUUAUAUCAUGUGGGCUUGAUUUGGUUGACAAAUGUAAUUUUCUAUUUUCUUUUGCUGAAGUUUGAGAUUGUAAGUCAUAUAUGUGUACCUCCUUUCAAUAAAUUAUAAUAAUACUUCAUCUAUUCAUUUUUACUUUUUUUUAAAAAAAUGUAUGUAACUAUUUAUUUGUUGUUUUUGUUAUGAAUAAUAUUAAUAAUAUAACGUGGAUUUCCAUUGUCCAUAAGCUUUCUAUAACUCCUAUGUUUUAGUCAUAUGACUCUUCAUACACUUAUACAAAAGUUCUCAUCUUUUCUAUUUUUGAUCUUAUCAUUUAGUUUAUUUUCUAUGAAAAGUUGAUAAUAUGAGGAAAUGAGUCUCACAUUUGGGGAUAUAUGUGAAUCAAUACACAUAAUGAUCAUGUGGACCUGAUAUAUAUUUUAUAACUUCAAUAGAUGCAUAACUAAAUGGUCACAUGUAUGUUUAGUCUCUACUCAAAACUAAAACUCUAUGAGAUUAUUUGAUCAACUAAUUUGAUUAAGAUCUCACUCGCUUUGUUUAAUAAGUGUUGAAUGUACAUGAGAAUUGGUAUUGAACAUAUAGUUGCAUAUGUUCAUGUAUACAUACGGGCUUGAAUAUCCAUUCAUUAGUUGUCUAAUGUUAAUUGUAUGAUCAAUAGCACUUUUGAGAUCAUAUCUAAUGUUACUUGAGAAUAUGAAAUCUUUCAUUUUGAGACAUCACUUCACAUCCAGCCAACAAGUUAUCAUAUGUAAGUCAUCCCCUAGUUCACAAUGAAUUUGAUUUUUGGUCUAUAAACAUAAUAUUUCCCAUAUAAGCAUUUUUGGAUGUGUUUGAUAUGUUUCAAUUGCUCCAAUAUAAUGCACUUAAAUGGGUCGUAUGAGAAUAUUGAGAAGCUAUUAUUGAUAUGAAUCUCAUCUAUUAUAAAAUAUCUUGAAUACAUAAUUAGAGAUUAAUUAUAGCUUAAUAUAUUGAUUAUCAAUUGAUAAAUUAGUUUUCUCAAUAUUAGGGGGAGAAAAUAAACAACUGAAUAUAUGAACCAUAAGUUCAAAUGGAUAUAAGAAGUUGAGUAUAUGAACCAGAAGUUCAAAUGAAUAAGAAUUGAAUAUAUGAACCUGAUGUUCGAAUGAAUAUAAACAGCUGAAUAUAUGAUCUAGAAGUUCAAAUGAAUUGAUUGAAAUAAAAAAGUAUGAUUAUCUCACCUUGAUCCUCAUAUAAAUCAGUGUAAACCAGAAGUUUAAAAUACGAUUUAUUUGCAAAGUUAAACAAACAAAAUAUCAACUACUAAUAAUCCAAUCAAAAUAGAUCAUGUCUCAUUUGAACAAUCUAACUUAAUGAAAAGAUGCAUUUUUAUGCAAAAUUAAACUAGCUUUGCAAAACGAAUGGUUUUUGGUGCAGUAGUCCAUGUAUGGAAGAUGUGAAAAUAAAAUGAGAAUCAUGAAUUAUUUAAUUAUAAAGUUGGGCACAUUGUUCAAGAGUAUUGAUGAAAACCAACUAUUAAUUUUGAAGAGAUCUAUUAACUAUAAAGUGAAUUCAAGUACAUUAUCAACUUGAUUAAGUCUAGCAUCACUUGAAAGCAUCAAUCUAUAUAUGAAGUACAUGUUACAAUAUAUUUAUAUGACUCACUUGGUAUUUUUAUAUAAAAUUUCCCGAAGGAAUUAAUUUUAUUGCGACAUACAAUUCAUAUUCUCAAGGAGAUUACUUAAUCAAAUCGAAAUAUAGAAAUGUGUUGAGUAAUAUUCUUAAUGAAUAUUUUCUAAAAAAGUGAUAUAAAAAUGAUACCAUUUGUACAUUUCUAAAUAAACCUGAGAACUCGUAGAGAAUUUUUGAAAGUUGAUUUAUUAAAGAAAAAAUAUUGAGAUGAAAUAUGUAGAAAGGGUCAAUAUUUAUUUGAGAUUACAAGUUGAGUAUUUGAAGAGUAACACUUUUGUUAAUCAAGAAGCUUAUACAACAAAGUGCUAAAAUCUUUAUAUAUGGACAAAUCUGUAGAUGUAACACUUAAAUCUCUUUGAAGAGUAACACUCAAAUGGUUGAAAAGUCACUGGAUGUAGACAAAGAUAUAGUUUGAGAAUUCGAGUAAAUUAUGAAGAACUAGUUGGUUCUAAAAUACCAUAUUGUAUUUUAAUUAAAGGACAAUAAUGUACCUUGAUAAUUAUUCAUGUUAUCAUAUAUUAUUUUUAUUUUAGAUAUGCAUGUUAUUUGUUUGAUCCUCAAUAUUAAUGUGCUUGAUUGAGGUUUAUGAUUGAACACAUAGAAGAAAAUUUGUGGUUUGUCUUUCAGAAAAAUGAGCAACAAUAAUUUAUGAAUAUAAUACCAUGUGCAUUAAUUGUUCAGUUGAAAGGAUAUAUUCUUCAGAAGAACGAUGAUAUACAUAAUCAACAAAUUUUUUCGUGUGAUAAUCUUGUAGACGUUUUCAUAAAGUCACUCCCAAGCAUGAAUUUUGAACAACUAAUACAAAAAAUUGAUCUUCAUCAUCUUGGAGAUGAUUGUUUGGAUGAAGGAGAGAUAUAAAUAUAUUCUGCACUCUAUUUUUCUUCACCAUGGUUUUGUUCCACUGAGGUUUCCUGGUAAUAUUUUUAAUGAGACAAAUAUAUUAGAUAUUGUACUCUUUUUCCUUCAUUAUGAUUUUUUUUUUCUGUCCUUUUCUUAGUAAGGUUUUAAUGAUGCAUAUCCUUCAUGAACAUCUAAAAGGGAGUAUUAUGAAUAAUAUUAUUAAUAUAAUAUGGAUGUCCAUUAUCCAUAAGCUUUCUAUAUUCCUUAACUCCUAUGAGUAAUGACUUUACUCAUUACAUUUGGCAUUUAGUCCUAUGAGUCUUUCAUACACUUGUAACUCAGGACAUUUAUAAGAUUUAUAUUCAAUGUAAAGAAUACACUUAAAAAGAGAAUAAUACAAAAACUUUCAUCUUCUCUAUGUGCUUUGAUCAUCUUCUCUAUUUUUUUUUUUUUCAUCUUGUCAUUUAGUUUAUUUCAUAACAGUUUUGAAAUUUGAAGGUUAUACUCAUCAAAUUUUUAGACUGAGAUAUCAUGGCUUACCAAAAAAUAAUUGAACAUAACACAACCCAUUCUCCAUAAAACAAUUCUCGCACAAUCUUUCCAUUCCAACAAACCCUAUGGCUUUUUUUCAAAAAAAAAAAACCCUAUGGAAAAAGUAAAAAAAAAAAAAACGAGGCAAUCUUGAGAACAUAAUGGGUCUCCCAACUUUUACUUCUAAUGUCUCAGAUGAAUGACUACCAGUAACACACGAUUAAGAUCACAUAAAUUAAUCACUGAUUAAUAUUUUAAGAGAAGUUUAUUGCCUAGAUCUUGAUCGUACCCGUCGUGGGUGUUGUUAAGAGUUAAUUUCAAUCUCCAUGAAAAUGUAAACUAAGCUUGCAAUGUGCAGAGGCUUGAAGAAGACAAUGAAAAAGAGAGAAAGAAAAUUUUAUUAUUCAACAAUCUAAGUAUUACAAUGAGGUGAUAUAGCUUUAUAUAAAGUGUAAUUAACUACUAUAACCUAUAGCUACUAACAAAAUAUAACUAACAUAUCUAACCAAUUGCAAAACAGUUACAAUUGGUUAGAUUAGCUUAGUUGUCAACAGUUACUUGUAGCACAAGUAACCACUGCAAUACAAUGUGAAUUAGGCUUUAACAACCCCCUCAAGUUGGAAUAGAUGUUAAUUGUUCCAAGCUUGGUCUGUAGAGUGUUGAAAGGGCCAGGAUGAAGAAGCUUGGUUAGAAUGUUAGAAAACUUGAUCCUACAUUCCUUUUGUCUAUUUUUUUUUUGUAUAUUAACAUCCUUUAACUAAUUAAGACUAAUUACUGUUAUAGAGUAAUCAAUAUUGUUGGUUAGAUUGAGUUAGUUAAACUAGUAGUUAGUUAGUUUUUCUAACUGUUACUUACAAUGUAAGUAACUGAUGUUGAUUGAAGUUAAUUGUUAUACCUGCUAUAUAAAUCAAUUACAUUUAACUCUAACUCUCAAGAAUGUCAAUAAUAUUUUGAUACACAUUAAGUUAGGAGAAGGGACAAAGUACAUUCAUAAAAACAAAACAUCACCACAUAAUAAAGGUAACCAAACUAAAGUUUAUCAUCAAUCCACCUAAUAGUUACCAACAUAAAGUUGUCUAAAAUAUAAAAGACCAUGAUAUGUUUGAUCUAACAAAAGAUACCAAAAAGCAACCAAGCUAAAGUUCAUCUAUCUUGUUGUUGAUGUUAUCACCCUCUCCUUCCUGUUGAAUUGAAGUGUUCAUAUUAGGCACAAUAUUCCCAAUAAUUUGCUUCAAGCGCUCCAUCUUCUGUCUUAGUGUUUCUUGUUCAAGAUUUUUCUUUUUAAGUUCAACGGUUAAUGCUUCAAUUUUAGCCCCCAUAACAGCAACUUUUUCUGAAGAAACUACAUCGGUAGAAAUUGAAGGCGAUGGUCUCAAAGAUUCUUUGAAAACAACAACUUGAGAUCCUAAUUUAAGUAUGUUCUCCUUCUUGUUAAUGCCUCCAACAAUUUCCAUAUAAAUACCAUUGUCAAUUUCUUUAGUAGGUUGUUGACUAAUAAUCUCACCACUUUGAGACUGUUUCUCAAACAUUUGAGUUUUGUACAUUUCCUGCAAAAAAGAGUUACUAUUAGUAACAUAAUUUAGAUUUAUGAAAGAUAACAAAAAAAGACUGAUGUAUACAUACAUCUAUCUUCGCUUGUGUUUCAUUAAACCACUUUUUGGUCUAUGAAGUUUUCGUAUAGCUCAAACCUUGUUGGUUCUCUAUCUAAUUCCACUCUCUAAAACAUAACCAACAUACAACAAGUUAGUAUAAACAUAUUUAAAUUGUAAUUUAAAGAAAAAUAAUUACUAACCAUUUUUUUCCUUUCUAUUCUAGCAGAUAUGGAUCCUCCACUAUGAACACUGUGUCCAACUUUAGAUUGCCUAUUUUGUUUAUUAGUCAUGGAAUAUUUUCGCCAUUUCUCUUCUUCCCAUUUAGCCUUCAAUUGUUUCAAGUUGUUUAUUAGUGAAGGAAUAGAAACAGAAGUUCCUUCUCGUUGUUGUUGCUUGGCUAAUUGCUUCUUCUUCCGGGCUGUUCUUUCGAUUUCAGAGUGAAAGAGUAAUUAAUCUUCCAGAAACAAGUUAGAAACACGACUGAUAAUAUAUAUACAAGAAGGAACUUCUUUUAUAUAUAUAUAUAUAUAUAUAUAUAUAUAUAUAUACACACAAGAAAUUAAUAUGUACAAAAUUGAUUAAAACAAAAAUUCUUGCUGCAAUGCUUAUGAUAUCUUAAUGUCAGUCCCUGGAAACGGUACCAUUUUGAUGUAGUAUCAAAAGUAAGUAUGUAUUAGUAUCAUAUCUAUAGGGACUAGUGCGAUAUUCGUAAGCCGUUCAACAAUUUUUUAUCGUUUUAAGUUAAGGUUUUGUAAAAUUGUUUGUUGCGAAAACCUAAUCGGACUAUAAUGCGAUAAAAUAAAAUUGAGUUAGACAGAGGAUUAAAGCUGUUGGGGUUAGACUUCAUUAAGAAAAUGUCGCAUAUAUUCUCUUAAUCAAGCAUAUAGAUUCUAGCUAUAAAUCAAUAUAUUAUCAUGUUUCACUCGACAACAUCAAUUAUGUCUAAGUAAUAUCGUGAAUUCAAUCGUAUUGUUUAGUCGACAAUUUCUCGGCCUAUUAAACAAUACAAUAACAUGAAGAGUUGAUACUUAAGUGAUUAUCAAAACCUAAAACCAUUUCUAGUAUUUAGGGGUUCAAUAGAUUAUUAUCCUAUGUGUAGAUUCAAAAGAUAUUUCUCAAUAACAUUUCAAAUCAUAAAUCAAGCAUGAAUAAAUAAUAUCAAUAUCAAUAAACACUAGAAUCAUAUAUUGCUUAAGAUCAAAGAGAAUACAUAGUGAGUUUGUUAAUUACAUUUUUAUUGUCAUGGUAGCCUUACAAAAUUGGAAGAAAUGUGUGGAAUACUUAUCAAGAUGUUGAUUUCUCAAUUGAAUCUUGUUGAAUCCACCUUAUAACACUCUUGCUUUGUGUUUCUCUCUAAGAUUCGUUCUUGUUUCUCCCUAAAAGUACAAGUUAUCUUUGGUUGGAAAUGAAUGAGCGGCUUUUAUACUUUUUCUGAUAAGUGCCUGCUCGCCGAGUGAAGGGAGGCUCUCCAUGGCGUAAGACAUAGAAAGCAUAAAAUGACUUAUUCAUUAUUUUUGAGCUUUUCAUGAGAUAAAUUGUAAAACAAGUAACCAAAGUGUCUAAAAUAUAAAUGAUAUUUAAAUACUUUCUGACACUUAUCACGUACAUAAACGAUAAGAUACAUUUUAUUUCAAGUUUUAAGUUUUUAUGAAUUUAAAAAUAAAAUAAAAGAAAAUAAAGCAAUCGUUAGCGACGGAUUUAAAGACAAAUAUAUCUAGAGACAACAUUAGCGACGGUCUUUAGAGACGCAUGUAGGGACCAAUGUUGUUAGAGACGGACAACUGCAUUUCCAUCUCUAGAUUUUGUCUCUAAACAACUUUUGUAUGCACUUAUCUAACAUAGUAUCUCAUUAGAGACGGAUUUUUAGACGGAUAGUAAUCAACGACAGAAUGUUCCAUCACUAAAAUCCGUCUCCACACACAUCAUCAUAUUCCGUCUCCAAAUUAUAAAUUUCCGUCUCAUCUUCCGUCUCUGCUAGAGACGAAGUGUUUCCAUCUCUAAAUUCCGUCGGGAUAUCAAUUUUUUUUUUUUGAAGGAGCUUAUCAACUUUUUUUAGUAGUGCAAUAAAGAUCAAACGUAAAAAGUAAUAUGUUUGCAAAGAAUAAAAACUAAAAUCAAAACUUUUGAUAUUGAUGAUGACCAUUUGUAUAUUUAAAUUUAAAAAUAAUAAUUAGAGAGAUUGCAAUAUUUGGUCAAAGCUGAAUACUAGCAGUACUAUUAUAAGAGAACUUCUUAUUUGGGUUUGCAUUAUUUGAUCGUGCGAAGCAGAAAGCUAUGUCAUUCAACCAAAGAGUACACAUAUUUUGAAUUUAUUGAUGUAUCCUGUCUGGUUCUUUGAAUGCUUCCAACUCAAUUUUUGACCAGUUCACAAUUUUUUUCUUUCGUUUUUCAGAUUCACGUUAAAAUAAUGGGUUAUUAAUGUUUUACCUUCGUAAUAUAGACCAUUUUUAUUUUCCCUUGUAAUUUUUUUUUAGAUUCUAUCAUUGUAAUUUAAAGAUAUUUUGGUUUUGUCCCCGUAAAAUCUUUAUGACAUCAAAUUAUAAAAUUUAUGGCAAUUUGUCCCUUGUAAUAUGAUUAAAUUUCGGUUUAACCCUAUGCAAUUUGAACAAAUUUUGGUUUACUUCCAUGCCAUAUCAUGAAGGUUCAAAACCAAAAAUUUUCAAAUUACAAUGACGAAAACCAAAAAAAAUAUUUAUAGAGAAGAAAACCGAAAAUAACCUGAACCCCGAACAUGACAAAAAAAAAACUACUAUUUAACCCUAAAAUAAACUCAGCUUGAUUUUUUUUUUUUUUAAUAUUGAGUUAUAACAUUGAUGAUUUAGUUUGUAUAUAUCUUUUAAUUAAUCAUUCUCUCUUUCUCAAAAAUAAUUUAUUUUAGGGUUAAUUAAGUUUUUAGUUCCUAUAAAUAUUCACAGUUUUGUUUUUAGUCCCUACAAAAUAAAAUCACACUUUUUAGUCCCCGUGACAUUAUCCUUAAGCAUUUUAGGAACCAAAAUUGUUGAUAGAAAUUUUUGACAAGGACUAAAACUGUUGAUGGAAAAAUUUUAUAGGGAUUAAAAAUGCUGAUGGAAAAUUUUACAGGAAUUAAAAAGUGUGAUUUUAUUUUGUAGGGACUAAAUACAAAAUUCUGAAUAUUUAUAGAGACCAUUUACUUAAUUAACCCUUUAUUUAAAUCAUUCAUCAAAAUACACUAAAAUCAUCAGUAUCACAAAAACUCAAUAUCGUCCAAAUAUUUUCCCACAAGUAUAAUUUUUUUAUUUGCUUUUAGACUAAUGGCCAACAUACACGUACAUACUCUCAAUAAAACGUGCUUGAAGAGAAUGAAAUGCAGUGACAUGAAUUCAAACCCAAAAUUCCGCAUAAAAUAUCAUCACAACCAAACCACAAUGCUACAACAAACACAUAUUUUAGAUUUUAAUUAUUCCAGUGGUAUAUCAAAAAAAUGUAUAUCAAUGUCAUCCUAUUUUCUUAUUAUUUUAUGGAACCCUUCUUUUAUUUAUCAAUUUCAACUUUCAAGUUAAUAAUAAACACAUGCAAAUAAUUUUUUUCUAUAAAAUUUAAAAAGCAAUAUUAAUAGUACAUAUUAUCUCCCUCAAAAAAAAUAGUAGAUAUUAUCAAAAUUCAUAUCCCAAUGUGAAUAAAAAAUGGCCCAAGGACCUGGUAUUAGUCAUCAUCUUCCUCUAACGUGCCAUCCAAUAACAUCUUCAGUUCCUCCUAUAAAUACCAUGCUGAACUUCACUUAUAAACCACAGCAAGGCAAGCAACUUCUUCAUUAUUUCUUUCUUACACUAGCAUUAUAAUUCAUCAUGGGUGUCAUCAAUUUUGAGGAAGAAACCACCUCUGUUGUAGCUCCAGCUACACUUCACAAAGCUUUUGUUACAGAUGCUGACAACCUUAUCCCAAAGGUUAUUGAUGUCAUCAAAAGUAUUGACAUUGUUGAAGGAAAUGGUGGCGCCGGAACCAUCAAGAAACUCACUUUCGUUGAAGGUCAGUAUAAAUAUAUUUGUUAUAUCUCUUAUAAGCAAAUCUUACAAUUAUUAAGAUUUAGGGUUUAUUAGGGUUAUUUUAGACGUAAGUUGCACCGACACUUCUGAUUGAAGGUGUGUCUUGACGUCCGACAUCACGACACUUGUGAUUACAUUGAAUUAUGUCAUUUUCUUAAAAUUUUAUCGGCGUCGAUGUGUCCGUGUUGUGUCUGGUGUCUGUGCUUCAUAGUUUUAGACAAAUUCUUGUACCAAUUUUUAAAAACCUAAAUAUAUCAAGUAAUAAUGGUCAUGAUAUUAAUAUGAUUGUGAGAUGAAUCUAUAUAUGACAUGCAGAUGGUGAAACCAAGUAUGAUUUACACAAAGUGGAGUUAGUAGAUGAUGCUAACUGGGCUUACAACUACAGCAUUGUUGGAGGUGAUAGUCUUCCAGACACAGUAGAGAAGAUUUCAUUUGAAGCUAAACUGUCUGCAGGUCCAAAUGGAGGAUCCAUUGCAAAACUUAGUGUGAAAUACUUUACAAAAGGAGAUGUUACUCCAAGUGAAGAGGAACUCAAGAGUGGCAAAGCUAAGGGUGAUGGUCUUUUCAAGGCCCUUGAGGGUUACUGUUUGGCUAAUCCUGAUUACAACUAAAGCAUAUAAUUAAAUGCUUAUUCAUGGUGUGAUGUGACACAGGAUAAGCUAUAUCCAGUUUGCUUAAUUUGGGUACCAAUGUAAUUCUCUAUUUUUCCCCCUUUCCUUUUGGUAAGGAAGUUUGAGUGUGAGAUUGUAAGUCAUGAGUGCCUCCCUUCAAAACAUUGUCAGCUUUUUUUAAUAAAGAGAUUGUUACUAUUUAUAUAUGUGGCUUUAAAAUUAUAAGGUUAUAGUUAUAGUAUUAACUUUUUUUCGUGUCAGAAAAAAGUUAAAAAUAGACUUUUGUUACGGUAAUUUAUAAGGUUAUAAUAAUUUUAUAUUUAUAUUAUUGAAGAGAGUACAUUAAUUAGACUCAAGUGAUUAGUGACCUUUCUCUCAAGAAGAAUUGUUCUAGAGAACCCGAUUUUAUUUUUGGUAAGAAUAAUUUUUGGUCAAACUUUAUUCUUCUUCCUAUCAAACUCUGGAUUACUAAUACCCCUUUCUCGAUGAAUUUGAAAGUUAAGAUAAAAAAAGUGUAAUUAUGUGAGUGAGUCAUUAUUAAAAGGUGAAAGUAUAUUCGGAAUCUGUUUAUUAAUUAAUAAAACUCAUUGUAGAUUUUAACCAAACAAUUGAGUUCAAGAGGUUAAUGAGUAUCCAACUAAUGAAUUGUUUAGUCGAAUCUGAGUUCGACUCUUGGGUAUAACUAUUCUUGGUCAUACUCUAUUUUCUUCCCUGCAGAACUCCAGAUUAUAUCUAGGAAACGAAGGGUUACACAAAAAAUAUAAACUCUUUGUAUGUUUCAACAUAAUAACGUUAAAAAACAAGAAGUAUAUAACAAUGAAGGGAGGAGACUUUUGAAUAAUAAUUGUAGUACUUUUCCUUAUAUCUAAGAUCAAGGUUGUCAAAAUUGAAUUUUGUUUCAAGUGGAAAGGGAAGAGUAAAAUCGAAAAUCGUAAAAUCGUAAUCAAAAUUGAAGGAUAUUAGUCAACUAUUUUUGUAGAAUCUAUAUAAGAAAUCGUAAAAUCGCAAUCAAAAUCGAUGGAUUUUACCAAAACAAAAAUAAUAUUAAAUAUAUGUUAUAAAUGACUCAGUUUAAUCUCCAAGUCUUUCGGAGAGCACUAAGGCAGAGAAAAAGAAGAAGAAGCUCGUGAACAAAGGAAGGUCUGCUAGCUUUAACUCAGCCAGAAUGAGGGUCCGUGCCCAAAAGAGUAACUCCAAAGCUGUCUUAGCUUUUCUGUAUUAUGGUGGAAUUAGCCACCUCCUUCCUUAGGAUCUUUCCAUUAUAAGGGUAGAUCUAGUUUUCCUUUUCGCAGGUUAUACACUUUCUGACUCUGUUGUAUUGAUUCAUGCAUCUCCUGUCUUUUAUAUUUUAGUGCUUUGAUAAAAGAAAAAGACUCAGUUUAAACUCCACAAAAUACUUAUACAUAAAUGACAAAAAAAUGAACUAAAUCCUCCAAAACCUUUUAAAAUCCUGUGAUUUUGCAUGGAUUUCACGAGUUUGUGCGAUUUGGAGGAUUUUGCCUAUUUUAGAAUUUUGUUAUGGAUUUGAGCCGUUGAAAGUGAAUAAGAUCGCAAAAUCCUAGAUUUUUAAGAUUUAAGUCGAGAUUUAAUCAACAAUGUCUAAGAGAUUAAGACCAUGACCAUCAUUAUUUUAUUUGUUGCUUGAUACUUACAUACGAAACUGGAAGGUUUAUACAUUUUGCUAAAAAAUUACCAAAGCAAGCAUAUGAUACAAUAACUAAAUAAUAUAGAAGAACUAUAUGCUCUUAGUUUAUUAUAUAUAGAAGAACUAGAAGACUUAGAAAAAGAUACCUCGGACAAUAAAUGAGGUUAUGUUGUCGUUGAAUUUCAUUACUGGAAUAGGAAUAUAUCAACAAAAGAACUGGAAAUUGUAGUACAAAGUAAUAAAUUGAUGCUCUUGUAAACAAUGAUAAAAUUGAGAAGGAGCCAAUAACUUGCUCAUAUAAAGCAUGCAGUUUUUUCCUUCCCAAGAUUGGUGUUUAUUUCUAUCAAAAUUAUUGUGAAGUGAUCAAAGAAGAUGUCAUCAAUGCUAUCUGCAAUCUUUUGUUUUUGGAUGGAUGAUGCCAAACUUCAAUGCCAACACCUUGAUUCUCAUUAUAAAAAUAUCUAAUGUUGAUACCAUUGAUCAAUGCAUGAUAAUAACAAUGGCUAGUUUCAAAUUCGAAGGUUAUUGCUUAUAGGAACAAAAAGGUUAUAUUCAUGGCAGGAAUGUUAGAGAAAGUGUUUUCCUAGCUUCUGAAGCCAUCAUUAAUCUUUUGCAAACCAAGUAUUUUGGUGGUAAUCUAGCUCUGAAAAUAGAUAUAGCCAAAGCUUUUGACACUUUGGAGUAGUGUUUUACAGAUCAAUAACUUGCUUGACUUCAAAAUUGGCACUUUUCCUUUCAACAACCUGGGUUCCCUAUCUUGAGAGGAAAAGUUAGAGCUAUUCAUCCGCAAGGUGUUGCUGAUAAAGUUAAAAAUAAGCUAGUAGCUUGGAAAGUUUCCCUUCUCUCAAUUGGUUGACAGGGUUCAAUUGAUCAUUUUUUUCAUACAUUGUGUAUUAUACUCAAACUCUGUCAUACAAUUGUUGGCAGGGUAAAAUGUGACAUGUUUGUAACUCACAUUUGAAAUAAAAAUUUAAUUAGUUAAUUUUUAUUUCCGUCAUAUUCCAUUGUGUAUUAUACUCAAACUCUUGCAUUUUUACACGUACUCUCUAACUUUUGUGCUAAUUGCAAUUAUAAUUUUUCAACCCCAUCGAAAUCAUGCUAUGAAAUUAUCAUGCCAUCAACAACAUAUAAAGAGAGUGCAAAGUACAACCAUGUGAAAAAUACUGAAUAAACAAACACUACUGGAAUCUCUCGUUUUUUUUGCGGAAUUUUCAGUGAAAUCCGCAAAAAAUUCCGCAGAAAAAUUAAGAGUUUCAAGUAGUGAAAGUAAUCAUGACAACUAGUAGAGAGGUCAAAAGAUAGUAUCAUAAAUAUGGAAAAUCUUUCAAACAAGGAUGCUGAACUUCUUUCUUUAAAAAAAAAAAAAAGGAUGAUGAACUUUUUUUGGUUAGAUUUUACUUUUACCAAACUUUAGAUUAUUAUUAUGACCUCUUUCUCUAAAAAUUGGAGGAUUAACACCAAUAAAAAAAAAAGAUAAAGGACUUUGUUUAAUCAUAUAUAUCGAGGAGCUUCUUCAACUUACAAACUUUAUAUAAUAAAAUAAUAAUAAAUUUCUUUUUUGAGGUUAAGUUUUGUAAGAAUAUCUUUUUAUCAAAUUGCUAGAGUAAGUUAUAUAUAUAUAUAUAUAUAUAUAUAUAUAUAUAUAUAUAUAUAUAUAUAUAUAGGGAGAUGCUACAACACAUCCACCUAUUUUUGUCAAGGUGUGUUUUUGCAUUGUCCACCUUUUUUGUUUUGACUAAAAACCCAUUUUCUCCUUUUUAAAAACAAGUAAAAGUGAAGGGCAAUUCUGUCAUUCGCAACUUAAGGCUACCAUUCGCAAAAUUAAAAAAGGUGUAACGUCUCUCAUAUAUAUAUAUUUAAAUAAUUAAUAAAAUUUAAUUAAAAAUAAAUCAUUUGAAAGAAUUUAAAUUUGAAUUUCGAGUAGAAUAAUCACCGACCAAUCUUUAUUUAUCCGACCGAACUCCAAAUUACGAGAGUUCAAGGAGAGUCAGGAUGAAAAAAGAAAAACUUUCUAUAUAUUUCUCGAACUACAGGUUCUAGAAUGGCGUCUAGAGGCUGCAAUAUUUAUAUAUUGAUAUAAGAAACAAUUGAGAAGGACUGCAAUAUUUCGUCAAAGCAGAAUACUUUGUAGUACUAUUAUUAUAUAAGCUGAAUAUCCUCUAAUUUGUUUGGGUUUGUUUUGAUAAUGUGUAGCAGAAAGCUACGACUUUCAGAGUGCUAUGAUUUUGAAUAUAUUGCCGUAGAUUAUGGUUUUGUUAUUUAAAUGCUUCAAAACCAAUUUUUGACCUGUUCACAAAAUUCUUCAGAUUCACCCAAAAACAAAUUCAGAUUGAGAGUUUCUGUUUUUUUAAAGAGUAACACGUCACUGAAUUAAAGAUGAUUAGUCAAAGUGAUAUUAUUUAUGAAUCAAAAUACAUACUAUAUCAUAUGAAUAUAUUAUAUAUCAUAUGUGACCUUGUAUACGACAAAUUUUAAAAAUACAUAACUAAGGUGCACGAUAUUCGAUAUUAAAAUUUUGGAACUAAAGUAUGAUUUCAGAAUUAGUUAUCCCAGUGCUAAACAUAAAUGGACGGAUCAACACGGCAACUUAUCCAAAAAAAUAUAUAUGUCAAUGUCAUCCUAUUUUACUAAUAUUUUAUGAAAAAUGUUAGCAAAUGCCCUUAAGAAGUUUGAAUUAUUUUAUUUUAUUUUUAAAUUUGUGUAUUCAAAACAUUCAAAUAUUUAAAAAUAAAUUUUGCUACAUAAAAGUUAUCAAUUGCUUACAUUUUUAAUCCUUAACAAAUGUUCUAUGGACUCCUUCAAAAAAAAAAUGUCUUAAGGAUAUAAUUUUUGAUGAAUCCUUAGCGAUACCUUUUCAACUUUCAAGCUCCGUCGGGUAUAAUCACAUCUAUUGAAUCUUUAUUGAUUAAUUUUUUUUGGAAAGGGAGUGAGGACACUAGGAAAACUUCUUGGAACGGUUGAAAUAAUAUUUGUUUGAGUAAAGAAACCGGUGGUUUAGGGGUUAGACAUAUGAGGAAGUUCAAUAAUACUUUGUUAGGGAAGUGAUGUUGGAGGAUAGAUGAUGAUUAUGGUAUAGGGUGUUGGUGGCUCGUUAUGGGGAGAUGAAUGGGAGGUUGGUGGUCAGAGUAGUUCAUCUUGGUGAAGGGAGGUAGCGAAAAUUUGUGAUGGGGAAGGUGUGGAGGGAGGAGGGUGGUUCGAGGAGAGUAUUGGGAGGAAGGUUGGUAAUGGGAGGGAUACCUUUUUUUUGGACGGAUCCGUGGUUGGAAGGUCAGCCUUUAUGUAGGAAGUUUAGAGUUUAGAUGACUAUUUGAUUUAGCGGAGAAUAAAUCGAUUACGGUGGUUGUGAUGUGUGAUUUGGGUAAUAAUAAUAAUUAUGAAGCAUAAAAAUAAUGUUAUAAAUAUGAUGUGAUAACAUUAUUAUUUGUUUCUAUAGAUCUAUAUCAUAUCUAAACCAGCAAAGGAACCUUAAGAGUACUAAAACACAAAUUUCACUAACGUUACCUAUAGUUAGGUCAAUUAUGAAGCUUGCCCCCAAUAUUCAAUCAUCUUUCUCAUUUUUAAUAGGCAAGUGUUAAUUGGUUUGGUUAGUUUUCCAUACUUGAACCAUGACCUUCUUCAUUAGUAUUCUUUCCGCUUUCGAAACUAUCUUUUAUAAAGGUUAUGUUAACUAAUAUCCUUAAGAUACUGGUUAAGAAAGAUAAAAUUAAAAAAAUUCAUUCAAAACAAUAAAUUCUCAACUUUCAAAAACAUAAUAUACAACUUUUUCAUACCUUUCAAUACAAUAUUUUUAUAUUAAUUUCCUUAACAUUUCCAAUUUCAUAAUGAUUUUUUAUUUAUUAAUUCUUUCUCAUAGUAUUUCAAUAUGAUGUGGUGGGGUUGGCAUUAGAGAGUUGACUUUAGGUAGGUAUAUUUAUAUAAGAACAUCUAUUAAAGGUGGUUAACAACUUAAAAUAAUUCAUCCUAAAACAACUUAAAAUAUUUCAAAACUUUGAUAAAAGACUAUAUGUUAUCUAAGAGGUGGUAAUAAUAAUUAGGGAGUUUCGACGGUACAUCCUUAAAUUAAGGUGUACUGAUACACCUAUUUCAUAAAUCAAUAAGUUAAUGAUCAUUUUUAUGUAAUAAAGAGAUAUUUAUCGACUUUUAUAUUUUAGAAAAUAUGUAGUUCAUAAGAAAAAACAUCAUUUCAUUUUUUGUAAGAAUCAUACUAAUUUUUUAACAUUUUAUCGAAAAAAAUAAUCGAUAUUCAUUAUUAUGAGUAAUAAAAAUUAAAAAAAAUUGAAUUUUGAUUUGCCGACACUUUUGAAAAAUAAAAUAUAAUUUAUAAUUGUAAUUGAUAGAAAAUAUUUUUUUUUUAUAAAAAAUAUCUCAUUAAACUAUUCAUUUAAAUAUAGGUAUACCGGUACACUCAAAUUUUUUGAGUGUGUCGUAGAAAUUGCCAAAUAAUAAUUAUGGUUCAAAUCCUACCCUUGACAUUUGAAUUAUAGUCAUUGGUGUCAUUGUUAUUGAUAAUAUUUUUCUCAUAUAAAUUAAAAUUAUAAUUUUAUGCAAUAAAAAAAUCCCAUUGAAGCAAGUUUGUAAUUAAAAUAAUUUUUUUUUUAAAUUAUCAACAAAACCAAAUAGUGUUCAUAAUCUUUCAAUUUUUUUUGGAUGAACUCUCAUAUCUUUCAUCAGAAGUCUCAAACUAAUACACACAUAAGCAUACACCUAAAAUCAAAUCUCUAACCAAAUUCUUAAUAAAUCUAGUUAUUUUUCAACCCUGCCACACCAUAAUGGUAGCUUUCACAUGUAAACAUUAGAUAUUAUUUUUCUUUUACUCAACAUAUUAGCUAGUUUGGAACUAGAAAUAUAAUAAUUUUGCGCAGUAGAAUUUAUGAGAGGACAAAUAUUAUAUAUUGUGCGACAAUAUGUUUAUUUUAUAGACGUCGUUUGCAUUUGGAAUUUAGACUGCUUUUGGUCCUUGAUGAGAGAAAAAGAAGAGAGAUAAAAAAAAUAAUGAAUAGUAUAUUCAAGAAUUUUGUGAGUCCAAAUAGGUUUUUAACAUAAAAAAUAAUAUUAAAUAAUAUUAUCCAAAUUCACGUCACAAUGUGAAUAAAAAAUGGCCUAACGACCUUGUAUUAAACAUAGGUCUAAACAAUACAUCUUCAGUUACUAUAAAUACUAGACUCAACUCCACAUAAACCACACAACAAAUUAAGCAACUUCUUAAUUAUAUUUACUAACUAAUACUUCUUUCACUAGCAAGUUAGCAUAUUAUAUAAUUCAUAAUGGGUGUUUUCAAUUUUGAGGAUGAAACCACCUCUAUUGUAGCUCCUGCUACACUUUACAAAGCUCUUGUUACGGAUGCUGACACCCUUACCCCAAAGGUUAUUGAUGCCAUCAAGAGUAUUGAUAUCGUUGAAGGAAACGGCGGAGCCGGAACCAUCAAGAAACUCACUUUUGUCGAAGGUCGGUAUAAAUAUAUGUGUAUUUUUUGGAUUAUUUUAAAGAGUCUAAUUGCGAAAUUCACACGGAUUAAGAGAAAAAUUGAUUCACUAUACAAAUAAAAUACAAUUUAUAAAAUAUAUGAGAGUGUUUAGUAGACACUCUUAUGAUUAACAGUUUUGGUUGCUAAUUAAUUGGUUUGAGAAAAUAUUUUCUAUUUAUAUUUCUAAUUAUAGAAUUGCCACUUUACCGUUUAUCAAUAUUUUUUAUCACUUUACCAGUAAUUGUGACACUUUGAUGUUAGAAGAAUAACCACGUUAUACUCGAAAAAAGUUCUUAGCCCAAAAUGGACAAUUUUACCAAGGUUGUAUUAAAGUAAAUUUAUACUUCAAAAUAAAAUAAAAAUGAAGUUUUUAUAAGAAAAGUAAAUUUCCGCUUAGUGAUCUCAUUCUUUAUGGAAUAGGUCAUCCUUUUAACGGUAUAUUUGAAAGAAUGCUAGAAUAUUCUUUUGGUGAUAUUAUUUUGUUCUAAUCGGAGUAUCGGUCGAGAAAUAAGUAUAGUUUGGUCAAAAUUAUCUUAUUGGAGAUUCAAAUUCUCCCGAACAAUUUGUCUUUGUCAAUUAACUAUUUAAACACAAUUGCUUGAUUAACUGGAACUUGAUUAUUUUAACCAAUGAUGUGCAGAUGGUGAAACAAAGUAUGUGUUGCACAAAGUGGACUUAGUAGAUGAUGUUAACUUGGCUUACCACUACAGCAUAGUUGGUGGUUUUGGGCUUCCAGACACAAUAGAGAAGAUUUCAUUUGAGGCUAAAUUAUCUGCAGGACCAAAUGGAGGAACCAUUGCAAAGCUUAGUGUGAAAUACUUCACCAAAGGUGAUGUUGCACCAAGUGAAGAGGAACUCAAGAAUGGCAAAGCUAGGGGUGAUGGUCUUUUCAAAGCUCUUGAAGGUUAUGUUUUGGCAAAUCCUGAUUACUAAAGCAUAUAGCUAAUUGCUUACUUGCUUUAUACAUGGCGUGUUGUAAUGCAUUUUAUUGUAUCAAGUGUGCUUGAUUUGGUUGCCAAUGUAAUUCUCUCAUUUUUUUUCGUUUUAUUUCUCUCUAUUUCUUUCCUUUUGUUGUGGAAGUGUGAGUGUGAGAUUGUAAGUUGUGUGUGUACCUUGCUUCAGUAAAUUAUAAUAAUAUAUAUUUCUUUUUUAUAUGGUCCCCUUUUGAAUAUUUCAUUUCAAUAAAUGGAUUCGAAAGACCAAUCUAAAACUCAACAGUUCUCUUCCUUUAAUAAAUAUAUUUCUCUUCCUUUAAUAAAGUAUACUGAAUUUAUUAAUAGUGAUAUUUCUUAAACUUGUUAAUAUUGCAAAAACUAAUAUCGUAAAAAUGCUAUCUUAUGAGAAAUAAAAUAAUGUGUCCUCUACUUAGAAUAUUGAGAUAAAUGAAUUUGUUGAAGAACUUGAUAAAGAUGAAUCUUCUAUAUUGAGACAACAUUGUUCCUUUUGUUGGUCAAAUAUUUUUCUUAGCAAGGAAGAAACAUUUGUCUUCUAUAAGAGAUAUGCAAAUCAGCAUUGUUUCUCAAUUUCGAAAAGGCAGAUUCAUCAUAUUGGAUAAUAGAUAGGCUCUGAUACCAUAUUACUUUCACAGAGGAGAGAAUGUGAUUGUGCUGAAUCACUAGAAAAUAUUAUUAUUGAAUUGUGUUUGUAAUACAAAGAAGGUUUUAACUAUAUAGAAACCUGAUCAUAUAUAAAGCUUAACAGAUUUAGGUAAAGGCCCAACAUGAACAAUUAGGCCCAAUAAAGAUAAAUGGACUAAAGCUUAACAGACUUAAAUCAUGGGUCGGGAGAUGAUUUUGAACACUUUUUUUUUUCUUCUGAAAGAAGGAGGGCUUUCAGUUAGACAAUUGAUGCAUGUCAUAGAACUAGAGAAAAAUGUGAAGCAUGUGUAUCUUCGAUUUAUUGAAAAGGACAUUCAUAAUCUUUUUCGAAAGCUGGGAAAAAAGUUGAAGGAAAUGAUGGUAUGCAUCGUCUCGAAUACUGUGAGGAUGCAAAAUGAGUUGCUCUAAACUUUAGUAUGCAUAUACCGAUGAAAAUUUUCCCAUUUUAGAUCAAUUUUGUCUUAUAUAUUAUUAUUUGUACAACCAAUUUUGCCAUAUUCUAAUUUAUACCCUACUUUAAAAACAUGAUCGAUAUUGUUUUCCUUAUUCCUUUAUGAUUAAUUUUUUUUUGUUACCUUCUCGUAUUUUCCUUGUUGCCAUUACAAUCAAAUUUUAAUGUUACUAAUCAGGGCCGACCCAACAUGUCAAGAGGCCUAAAGCAAAUUUUAUGAUUAGGUCUUUUGGAAUUAAAAAAAAUAACACAAUGCUUAUUAAAAGCAUAAUAAAUCAAGUUCUUUUGAAUUCAAUAUUUGAACUUAAGACCAAAAGGAUUUGAGGCGUUAAAAUUGACCAGAUAAACUAGAUAAAUAUUGAUUAUUAGUAUGUCAUAUUAUAUAUUUAUAGUUAAAUUGACUUAUUUUGAGAGCUUUUUUUAACCUAAAAUUUUGAGGCCUAAAGCCCUUGCUUGGGUGGCUUGACCCUUAGGUCGGCCCUGUUACUAAUUAAAACUGAACUACAAUUUUGUUAUCGUAAAUAUAUUUAUUUUUUAUAAAUAAAUUAAAUAACAAUAAUUAUUAGAUACUAAUCAACAAAAGUAAAGAGUCAGAGUUCGAACCCAUUACAACAAUUGAUUUAACAAUUUCAAAAAAGUUAUCAGUGAAUUAUAAAUUAUAGACAACAUGUGGGUAUAUAAUAAAAAAGUCGAGUUUUUUUUUUUUUAUGAAAGUAAAAAAAAAAUAUUUAAAUUUGCUUUCGGAAAAAAAAAAUAACAGUUUUUUUAGAAAUAUAAAUUCCAUAGAUUUUUAUUCGUUCCAAAUAUAUAAAAGAUAGGUGACUUGGUACAAUUUAAAAAGAAAUUACAUUAAUACUUUAUUAGUAAUAUUCAUCCAAGUUUCAAGUAAAGUUUUAGAACCAUCCUAUCUAUUGAUAUUUGUUAAUAUUAAAUCAAAGACUCAUGUUAAAUUGACUUAAGAUGGGAAAAGAUCACAAUUUCCCAUGUUAAACAUCACCAUACAGUUGAUAAAUAAAGAAGGUUGAGGCAUAUUUUUUGGUCACCUUCUUCUUGUUUUGAUUGGUAUAAAAAAUAUGGUGAUGUUGUGUUUGAUACUACAUACAAGGUUAAUUAAUUUCUUAUGACAUGCCAUUUUGAAUUUUUGUGGGUAUAAAUAGCCUUGUAAAGUUCAUUCUUUUUGGAUGUUCUGUCAAUAAAGUAUAGUUUCUGCAUAUGACACAUCACUUUUAAAUUUAGUUUUUGGUUUAAUGCUAUAACUCGGGAUAAAUAUUCAUCAUAGUGUUUUCAUUUUUUUUUUUGGUGGGAUGAAAACCACAGGAAGAUCAUAGAAUAUCAAUGCAUUUAUUAAAAUAUUCAUAAAUCCUCACACAAGUUUAAGUGACUUUACAAAUUCGGUACGAUGUAAUUUCCAAUACAUUAGUACUCAUCAUUUUUGAAGUUAAUAGUAUCUACCAAUCAAUUUAAAUUAAUUUCUUGUUGAUUUAGCAAUUGAUGAUAUUAAGAAAAAGAAUACCAUGAUAUAAUGUUAGAAAAGUACAAAAGAAUUAAUAUGAAGCUUAUGUUACCCUUGCAAUAGCAAAUUCAUGGUGUUCUCACACGUUUUUCUUUUUAGAAGUUUCAAGAGGAGUUUGAAAGGUCGGUCCAAUAUUCAAUUCAUAAUGAAACUCAAUGUAAUGUCUUUAUGUUGCGGUAUUAUAAAGAUGUUAAUUGUAGAGAGCAAAUGGUUUUUUGGGUGGUAAAUUUUAUUUUUUUUGAAUCGAAAAAUAUUAUUAAACGUCAUUCCCGCAAGACGCAAUGUAUGGACGAAACAAAAUACAAAUGAUGCCGCAUAUAGACGGUACAACAUAACCAUUUUAGGUGGUGAAAUAACUCUGCGUAGUUGUAAGCACUUUGAGUUUUGAGGGAUAUUAUGUCAUCACAUUUUCAAUAUUAUUCUUCAUAAGGAUUGCCAUGAGGUCCAAUCUAACUACAUGCCAUUACAAUGGCGUCUUCAAGCAUCACAUGACAAUGAUGAAGUAGAUCCCCAACAAGUCAAUGUUGUCUUUGAGGAACAAGUCAAUGUUGUUCAUUGUCCUCCACAAUCCAAAACAAAAGGUCGUCCCAAACAAAGGCAUUUUAAAGGCGAAAAAGAGUUAUCACAUAACAUUAAUACUUGUGGAUCAUGCAAAGGUUUAAGACAUAAUAUAGUUACAUGUCCUCUAAAAGAAAAUACUCAAUUUUCUGUUAACAAAAAAAAAAAAAAAAAAAAAAACUAGAAGAAGAAAAUUUGUGAUGAUGCAAAUGCUAACAAAUGUCCUUAGGUAAGAAGCUCAAAAUAUAAAUUUUAUCUUGAAAAUUGUAUUCAACACAUUGAAAUAUUAAAAAUAUUUUUCCUUUUUUGAAGAAGCCAAAUUGAAUUAUAUUACUACCAAACCUAGUCAACUCAACACAAGGCGUAUCAAAGUAGAAUGAGAAAGUGAUCAAUAGUUCAAACCAAAAGAAAACAAAAAUGAAUUCAAGAAUUAGCCAAAGCCCAAACACAUAUAGGGAUUAAGCCACCAAUUAUGAUAAAAAAAAAAAAAGAAGACUUUUUUGCAUUCAGUCAUCGAUAGAAAAUGAGCUUAAUGUUAUCUAAAAAUUGAAGAGCUGAGCUUGUUGUAUUAUUAAAUAUCUUGUCGUUUCUUUCUUUCUGUAUAACCUACGUGCAAGCAAACCAAAUCAUCAACAUAAAUGAGCGGCGGGAUUUUGAAACACCUUCUAAACAACUUUUUUUCUAAAUAAAACUUAAUGAAUGUUUCCUUUUUUGAAUCUUUAACAAAAACACUUAGAACACUUGUUAAUAGUAAAAAAUGAAGAAUAUAAUUUGUAUUUUAUUAAAAUUUACUAAAAAUAGUAUGAUCCUCCUUUAGAUUGAGUCCAUAUAAGAUGUCCCGUAAGUUUAAAUAUAAAAAUCAUGGUUUGGCUCUCUCUAUCGGGAAACCAAAUAUGUAAAAUUGAUUUUGCCAUAUUUGUCCGAUGCUUAUUGAAAUUGAUUUUUAUCUCUAUAAUUAUAUAACUUGAAGUUAGAACUUAGAACUGCAGCUUUUAAUUUUUAAUAUGAUUUUUAUACUCAAAUUUAGCGUUCAAGGCACGCGGACAUGAAUAUAUUUAAAUAUAACUAAUUCACAUUUAACCCAUUUUUAACUAAAUCAUUUUAUUUGAAAAAAAAUUUGUUGGCAAAACUAAACAUGCACUAAACCAAGUUGUUUGGCCUCCGGUGGAAAGGAGCUCUUUCCAAGGAUGUAUCCGGAAAAUACCGGACUCGAUUCACAGAGGGAACAACGCUUGACCAAUUUGCAUGAGCCAGAUUAGUCACCAACCUUUGGUGGGUCGAAAACUGGUGCAAAAGCCAAAAAAUCCAUUAAAAAAACUAAACACGCACUAAAUAUUUCCAACUAAAGUAUUAGUAUUAUUUAAAAAAAAAACAAAAACUAUAUUGUAAAACAAAUAGUAGUAUUAUUUAGUCCGGAUUCUAGAAUGGCGUCUUGAGACUGAAUUGUUUAAUAUUAAACAAAUAAAAUAAAAAAUGAGAGACUGCAACAUAAUUUCCUCUUCUUUUUUGGGUUUGCAUUUGAUCGUGUAAAAGAGAAAUCUAGAUACAAGAAUACGCAGAUUUUGAAUAUAUUGCCAUAGCUUUUGUGGUUAUUUGAAUAGUAUAUCAGGAAUUUUGAAAUUUGACUGGUCUUAGAGGAGAUAAAAGAAGAAAAAAAAAAUAGUAUAUCAAGAAUUUUGUGAACCCAAAUAAUUUUUUUCUUUAAAAUUCAUAUCUCAAUGUGAAUAAUAAAAUGGUUCCAACAACCUGAUAUUAGUUAGUCAUCAUCUUUAUCUAAUUAGCAAUCUAAAGUCCAAACAAUACUGUACCAAAAAAAGUCUAAAUAAUACAACUUCAGUUCCUAUAAAUACUAGCCAUAACUACAUUCAUAAACCACACAUUACGACCAUUAUUUGUUAUUUCUUACCUAGCAUUUUAAUACAUUAUACCAUCAUGGGUGUGUUCAAUUUUGAGGAUGAAACCACCUCUAAUGUAGCUCCUGCUACACUUUACAAAGCUCUAGUUACAGAUUCUGAUAACCUUAUCCCAAAGGUUAUUGAUGUCAUCAAGAGUGUUGAAAUUGUUGAAGGCAACGGUGGCGCCGGAACCAUCAAGAAACUUACUUUUGUUGAAGGUCGGUAUAAAUAUAUUUAUUUUACUUUUAUUGUCAAAUAUUAAUAAUUAGUUGUUACGUUAGUGUUUAAAAAAAUUAUGUUUUCGACAUCGAGUCUAAGUUCAGUAUGAACUAUACCUAGUAAUGCUGAUGAUGUUUGUGAUUGUGAAACGGAUCAAUAUGCAGAUGGUGAGACCAAGCAUGUGUUACACAAAGUGGAGUUAGUAGAUGAUGCUAACUUGGCUUACAACUACAGCAUUGUUGGAGGUGUUGGCCUUCCAGACACAAUAGAGAAGAUUUCAUUUGAGGCUAAAUUGUCUGCAGGUCCAAAUGGAGGAUCCAUUGCAAAGCUUAAUGUGAAAUACUUCACAAAAGGAGAUGUUACUCCAAGUGAAGAGGAACUCAAGAGUGGCAAAGCUAAGGGUGAUGGUCUUUUCAAGGCUAUAGAGGGUUACUGUUUGGCUAAUCCUGAUUACAACUAAAGCAUAUAGUGUGUGCUUGCUCUAUAAAUGUUGUGUUGUGACACAUUUUAUUAUAUCUAGUGUGCUUAAUUUGGAUGCCAAUGUAAUUCUCAUUUUUCUUUUCUUCCUUUCCUUUUGUUGCUUAAGUGUGAGUGUGAGUGAGAUUGUAAGUCUUAAGUGUACUUCUCUUCUUCAAUAAAUUAUAAUAAUACUCCACAAAUUCCUUUUUACUUGUCAUUUUUAUACAAGUGUUACUAUUUAUAGGUUUUCUUUAUGUUGUUUUCAAAUGUUAUGAUAUCUAUCUACUCCUAUUAUAAUCUAGAAAAAUCAAUAACCACCAAUUUUCUUAAUCACUCUCACCAAUCCUAUAAAAUCACUAAUUUUAUGGGCUUAAACGUCUAAUUACAUCUCUCAUUAAUUAUUUAAAAAAAUCAUAACUAAAAACCACACUCCUCCCAAGAUUUAUCUUUAAUCCAUCAAGACUAACUUUUGGGUGAGGUAUAAGAGUGUACUUGAAAUCACUACAAUAUUAGAAUCUAAGGUUUAGACUGUUUUCAUGACAUCUUGAGAAUGAUCUCAAGAGGGGUAUUUAUAGCUCUUUGUGGGAUUGUUUUUACCUGACUUAAGCCCCAAGAAAGUUGGGCUUUAAGUCUUUUUACUAAGCUCUAGAUGCUUUUAGAAAUUAGUUGAGACGGCGCCUCUGAAAGGGCACACCUAGGCCUCAUGAGCCCUUCUGGAGGACGCCUAAGCCUUUCUAUAUGGCAUUCGAGCUCUUAGGAAUAUAUCGACGGUCCACUUCCCCCCAAACACGAGUCUUGGGACAAGGCGAAAUGGUUAGUAAUAACGUUGCUCCUUUGAUAUUGGAGUAUGGGCAAUAACUAAAUUUUACAUGUCCCUGGACGAGUUCAUUAGCGUAUGGCAUGGGCGAGCCCUUUGUGGCGUUAUAGUAUUCUGCAACUUUAUUGUUGAUGUAACUUAACUGGGCAAGUUAUUCGAACCGUCUGCAGUACUUUUUUCUACUUAUCGUAUUUAUUCUGGAUGGAAAGUAAUGUUUUAUCUCUUUGAAAAUUGUGAUUUUCUAGUUUGCCUCUGUGGCUUUUUCAUAGAUUCAACAUUUAAAUUGCUUUCUGGUGUAGCUUUUACUUUAUGAUUUAUUUUUAUAUAAGGCAUUUGGCGCACUUGGAUCCAUCUUAGGGGUUGAAGUAAAGUCCACAUUGAGAGCCCCAUUUCAGGCUUGACGAAUUUGGCAAUAUUAGAGCCGCAUUCAAAAUUUUAAAUUGAUAAGGACCUAACACAGAAGGUCCGGGGUUCGAGCCCCGGACACCGCCAAAAAAAAAUUAUCCAUAUUAACAAUUGAUAUGUUUUUAUUAUAAUGACUAGGUAAAUAAUAUGUACCACCAUUGGAGCGGAAAUUUUUUAGUGCUUGAUGUCAAAUCAUCCUACGUUACUUUCAGCAUGUUUUUCAAUCAUUUUAGCAACAGUUUGAGUCAAUAAAGAGGAAUUUUAGAAACAAUUAUUUAUGCGGGUUUGAGGAAAAAGCCUAGUUUUUCAGCCCAAACAUAGUUGAAAACUUGCCUAUAAAUAUAAUAGCAUUCACUCACAAAUUGUCAUCCAGAACUUGACAGUUCAAGAGGAAGGCAAACACUAAGAGAAUCAACGGAGAAGUUUCUCCUCAACCUUUGUUCAUAUAUAAUGUUUUAUUUCUUUUUUAAUUUAUCUUUAGUUACCAUGAGUAACUAAACACCUAUUGAUUAAGGUUCUGAGAUGAAUCUCUAUUUGUUUGUUGGAUUUCAUUCAUACAAGUCUUUUAUUCAGUUAUAUUUUAAGAUCUAUUUUUUUGUAUGCAUCGGGCUUAGUGCUUUAACAACCUUAGGGAGUUUGACAUACUUAUAAAGUGUGCAUGAACUUAGAAAUAGUUUGCAGAGGUAUUUCUAAUCUAAUUUUCAAAUCGUUGCAUAUGAAUCUUAUUCUUUUCCCGUAGUAAGAUAUGAUUAGGCCUAUCCAUUAAUCUACUAGGGACAAGUAAGGAUAUGUAGUGAAAUUUUAAGAUUCAUAGGUGAUGACAGUCAGUCAUACACUAUUUUUAGAGUUUUUUUAGUUAAGUGUUUAGUCUAUUUUAUUAGUUUAAUAUUUAAUUUUGAGUUAUUUUAAAUAAAUUAUCAUUUUCUUAUUUAUUGAGUUAAUUAGUGUAUUAGUGCCUAUUAUUACUAUGAUGAAUGGCUAGAUUAGAUACGGAAGGCGUGACCUAUUUUGAAGUGUUAAACAGUGAAGAUUAAAUGACAAUAUGAUGGUUAAAUUACUCAUUGACCACAUGGCAAUCCUUGGGUGGUGUGAAUUAAAAUACUUUGGGCUUAAGCAAAACAAAAGGAAGGAGAGCGUAACAUGCUGAAAAGAAAAACUAGGUUACAUAUCUAUAUAAAGGAAGCAACACGCACAAGACCAGUAAUUCACGUUUCGGCACUGGAAUCACGUUUUGGAACAAAGCCACGCCAGGAAAAGGAACGGGAACGUGAGGGAAUAGAAGGCAACAGGAAACUCACGAAGCAGUAGAGAACCGAGCCACAACAUGGUUUCAUGGUUAAUUUUAUUUCCCAUGCUAUUUAUUUGUAUCUCUAUGUCUAGCUAAUUUCCCUCUUGAUUAAGCUAUGAUGAACCUAUUGUAAUAUAUGAAUCAGUAGUUUAUCCUCUCUUUAUUAUUAAUGUUAUUCAGUCUUUAUUCAAAAUUACUUGUGUUCAUAGCUUUUCAAAUAAUUGAUUUGUAUGACUAUUAACCCUAGCUUCGUGCAAUUACAUGAAUUGAUAUUAGGAAUUGAAUGACUAUUAACCCUAGCUUUUAAUCAUGAAAUAGUAAUCCUGUUUGAUUCAACAUAAGAACCUAGAGAUAGGAAAUUGAGGAUCAUGACUCAUGAAUUAACGUUCUUUUAUCGCUUCCGCGGUAUUCAAUCGGCUUAAGAGAUUAAAAGGUUAUAACUUAGGAAAGGGGUUUGAGUCAAGAGAUUGAUCAAAUCUACUUAGUUAAUUUGUCGUAAAGAUUGAAUAGCAAUUAGGAAUAAAGGGAGGUAAACUUCUCAUAUAAAGCAAUAGAGGAUUCAUCGGUUUAAUCAUCCUUUUCAAAUCAUCUUUCAACAACUUUUAUUACUUUUUAUGCACACAAACCUACUGCCUCAAACACUUAUAAAAUUUACACAUCCUAGAUAUUAACUUUAUUGCUAAGUUGAGAUUAACACAGUCCUCGUGGAUACGAACUUAUUUUAUUACUUCGAUAGUUUUAGUACACUUGCUAAAAGUUUAUCAAUAGGUAAAAGUGGUUCCUUUAGAUGAUAAUUUAGGAAUUUCUACUAUGUUUAUGUUUCAAUAACCGAUGAAAUUGUAAGUCCCUGACAUAAUCAACAGAGUGACUGCAUCUGGACACCUAGUGGAUUGACGAACCUUUACCAUAUCACACGCAAAACCUUUAGGGUGAUUAAGGAACAACAUGGCAUAUGAGACGUUAGAUCUCACCGAACUAACCACUUAAUAGAACCCUUCAACUGUUUCGCUUAAUCAAAUUAAACUUGCAAACUCCCCCUAUUUUUUUUUGUUUUUUUGUUUUUAUUAAGUUUAGCCAGUUGCCUCGUUGAUAUGGCAAUCACUGUGGAGUUGAUUUUUCUUUUUUUAAGAAGUUAAGCUAACCCAUCAAAAUUGAAAUUAGAGAGAAUCGAACUUGAGACCUCAAGGAGGAGCACACCCCCCAAAUUCCAAACCAAUACCACUAGGCCAACCCAAAUGGAUUUCAUUGUGGAGUCGAUUUUACUUACUUGGGUUGGCCUAAUAUUAAUUAAAAGUACAAUUAAAAUGUGAAAAUAAUACUAAUUUUAAGUCUAAUGUCAUAAAAAAAUAAUGAUUAAGACUGUAGGAUAACUUAUCUUUUGAACGGUCAAUCAUAGUAGUCCACUCGUCCACCACAUCAAUAAUAGUACUAGUAUAAAGUCUUCUAGAAAAAAAUAAGCAUAGUUUUUUUUAUUUGAAAUGAUCAAUUAUUAUUCUCCUUAUUUAUUCCGGUUCAAAUAAAGAAUCUUCAACUUCUUAUCGUUCUUCAAUUUAAAUCAAUUGAGCUAUAUAAUGAUUAUCACAAGUCUAAUAUAUAUUGCAUAUAUUUGAAGCUACCACAUCAAUAAUUGAUUUUUCUCUUCACAAAAACCGCCUCAAUGUUUUGUACCAUUAUAUUUAUAAAUCCGCCAUCUUUGACGAAUACUUAAUCACCCUGAAAAUUCCUCCAAUUUAUAUUUUCUUAUCACCGUAUACUAUUCCAAUAAUAACAAAAAAAAAAAAAAAAAAAAAACACCACCAAACACAUACUGAGCUUAAUUUCACCUACCCCAAAAUGGUGGUAGUACACAUGCAACAACAACACCAACCAAAUAUCAUAUAUAAUAAUGUUUAUGUUAAUCUCUUAACACUCAGAAUUUACACACCAGCUACAAACGUUAACAUCUUCUCAUAAUCAUAGUCACUUUGUGUUGAUUUUCAUUGAGAAAUUCAUCAUCAUGGGUGUACAAACUCAGGAGUAUGCUACCCCUGCUGCUGUUCCUCCUGUUAGGCUCUUCAAAGCCAUGUCAUUAGAGUUUCAUAAUCUCUUCCCAAAGCUUGUGGAAAUAAUCCAAAGUAUUGAGUUCACUGAAGGAACUGGUGGUGCUGGAACAAUCAAGAAGCUCACCACAGUUGAAGGUUAGUAAUUAAAUGAUAUCUUUUAAUUCCAUGACAUUAGGAUUUGUGUCUUUGUUAGAGUGAAAAGUGAGGACUUUUGUAGGAAAAAAAAUCUGCAACUAAAAUUGCUAAUCUUUAUUUAUAAAAAUUGGAUAAGAGAAAAUUAUAAUUAAUUAAAAUGACAAUAAUAAUUAUUUUAUAACAGUCUCAUGUCUCAUAGUGUUUGAACUCUAUCUUUUUAGACCAUAAUUUGGACCUCCUUAUAUCGUGGUAUUAUCUUAAACUUGAACUUUUUGGAUCGAUUAUGAGACUAAUACACAUAUCCAAAAAGUGUCCCAACGAAGAAAAAUGAUAUAAUUGUUUUAAACAAGAAACUAUGAUCAUUUUUUUUUUUUUAUAGACAAAUAUUAGUGGUUAAUUCGUUUAGAGAGAGGAUGAAUUGAAAUGAGUAAAUUUGAUGAAUGCAGGUGGAGAGACCAAGUAUGUGCUACACAGAGUGGAUGAAAUUGAUGAAACAAAAUUUGUGUACAACUUUAGCAUUAUUGGGGGCACUGGAUUGGCUGACACAUUGGAAAAAGUCUCAUUCAAAAGCCAAUUGGUGGAAGGACCAAAUGGUGGGUCCAUUAGGAAUGUACAUGUUGAUUAUUUUACCAAAGGUGAUUAUAAUCUAAGUGAGGAGGAAUUGAAAGCUGGUAAAGCAAAGGUUGAAGGACUUGUAAAGCUUGUUGAAGGUUACCUUUUGGCAAAUCCUGAUUACUGAAUAUGUUUAAUUAGGGUUAAUAAGAACUUGGCUAUAUGGUGCAAAUUAAUAACAGCCAGAUCAAGGUUGGGUUGUAAGAUGAAAGCCUAAGUAUGAGUUAUGAGAAUGAUUUUGUAUUUGAAGAAAAUUGAUGUGUUGCAAUUCGAGUGUUAAGAUGUAAGAUGAACACAAGUUGAUUAAAGAUGUUUGAACCUUACAUUUUUUUUUUUUUUUAAUAUAAGAUGAAAUAUUUGGUAAUUGACUGAGUGAGUGAUGGACCAAAGAUUGGAAGGGAUGUAUUUUAUUUAAUUAGGAUUUAUAAGAACUUGGCUAUAUGGUGCAAAUUAAUAAAGGUUCGGUUAUAAGAUGAAGCCUCAAGGAAAACAAAUACUUACUACUGGCUAGUGUCAUAACUAGUGUCAUCAAGUAAUGUAUGACUAAUUCUUAAUGAAUUAAAAGGUAAAAGGUGAAUUUUCUGACUUAGAUAACAUAUUCUGCAAACUUAUUCAAACAUCGGUGUCAUUUAUGAAAGAAUAUGUUGAAAUAGAUGUGUUUGCUGUUUGACUAAGAUUGAUUUUGAGGUAAAAAUUAUUAUAUUUUAUCAAAUUAAACAAAGUUAGAAUUGGAUCGAUUCAUUAAAGGUUUAUCGAUAUAUAAUUAUAUAUUUAUUGGUCUAGAGGUCAAGACAUACUCAAAUAUUAAACAUACAGAGGAAGGUGAAUUUGGUGACCUUGCUUAGAACCCAGAAUUCCACAUAAAAUAUUCACACAAUUAAACCACUAAGCUGUUGGAAAGGAAAAAGAAAAAAAAACUAAACCACUAGGCUAUAAUUAAAUAACACCGUCUUAUGUAGGUAGAGAUUUUGAAUAAAUAUGUUUUGCAAUCUAUCGUGUCUUAUGUGAUGUGCAUUUUUCUUAGUCUAACUCACUUAUUGAUGAGAUUGAGAAAAUUUGAAUUCAUUUUGAUAAGUGAUAGCGAGAGUGAUUCUAGAGGCAUGCACCGGCUAUGAAGUUCAUCAAAAAUUCAAGUAAUUGAAUCCUAAAUAUGAUUUUUUAUUUUUUUUUAUUUUAUUAAAGCAUUGGUCACAACUCAAGCUAUGUUUGACGUACCAUAUUUAAAUCAGUUGUGCACGGAGGUUUCAAGUGGAGUAUUUGGAUGGGAGAAAACAAAGUUAUCAUUAGAGUAAUUUGAGAGAGAGAGAGAGAGAGAGAGAGAGAGAGAGAGAGAGAGAGAGAGAGAGAGAGAGAGAGAGAGUUGUGUGCAAAGGGUACAUGAAAACUCAACAAAAUUAGGGGAAGGUCAAAUGCGGGUUGUCACGUACAUCUAAAACCGAUCAUAAACACACGCACACAUGAGUCUAGUUUUUUUUUUUUGGACAUAAACCAAGCUUUUGCAUUAAACAGUGGGCAAAUCAUUACAAUACACUGAUAAACACCUAUCUGAAAUACAUCCAUUCCAACUCUUACAACCUACAACUUUUGAUAAUUGAGCAAGGCUGUGAGCCACUUUGUUGCAAUCUCUGCUAAUGCUACAAACAGACACAUUAGCUAACUUAGACAUGUAUUCUAAACAAUCUAAAAUUAGAGGUUCAAUUUCAGCCAACACAAAAUCACCAUACAGUCUUUUCACCACCGUUUCGGCAUCUGUUUCAAUAAUGACAUUUGAGAACUGUUUUUCAAGUACCCACGCGAGGCACCAUCUCACCCCCAAACACUUAGCCAGCAGCGGUGAAUAGGAAAUACCAUCAGAUUUGGUUUCAGCAGAUAGAGCCAAUCCUGCAGCAUUGCGAGCAAUGAAGCCCCACCCUGUACUCCCGUCUCCGAAACACCCUGCAUCAACAUUAACCUUAAUUGAACCAAAAGGGGGAGGUUGCCAUCUAGGGACAACGUGCACCUGACCCCUUUUAAGAGGCAGAUUUGCAAUCGAAAAUUCCUCCACAAGCGCAGACACCUUCUGAGACACUAGUAGCGGAUCAAAAUCAACAUUAUUGAAAACUUUUUGAUUCCUAUGCUUCCAAAUUAGCCACAGGGAGGUGCCAAACAGUUGUUUCACACGCUGCUCUGGGACAGCCAAACACUUCUCCAUCCAGCUCAAUAAAUCUAACUGCACCGGAACAUGUAUCGCAAGAGGAGAUGCAAACCAAACUGCUAUAGCAGCGGGGCAGCGCAUGAAUAAGUGGUCCCUGUUCUCAAUUUCAACAUGACAGAGAGGGCAAUUCAUAUCAAGACUUAUGCCUUUCUUACCCAAAUUGCUCCUGGUAGGCAGAAUGUCCUUCGCAAGACACCAUAAGAAAUUCUGCACACUCCUCGGAGCCGGAGUAUUCCAGAUUUGCUUCCAUAUCACAGGGUUGUUUGCAGAAGAGGACUCAACUUGGUUAGAGAAAUUUUCAUUGCAUAGGGAAUGAUGAGCAGAUCUGACAGAGUAAAUCCCAUCCUUCUCCCAAUGCCAAAUGAUUUUAUCCGCUGGCUGUCUCAUGGAUAAGGGAAUUUUGAUGAUUUGACGCGCCGCGUAAUUGUUGAAACUACGGAAAAUAAGGUCUCUAUUCCACUGCUUUGUGUCACAAUCAAUCAAUUCAUCAACAGUAGCUGCCACACUAAGACUUCCGCCCACAUGGUUCAGUUUGAAUUCACGCUUUGAGGGGAUCCAGUUGUCUUUGAAUAUUUUGAUGCUUCUACCAUUACCCACUUCCCAUCUAGCUUCUGAUUCAAUUACUCUUGUGGCUGAGAGCAAGCUUCGCCAUGCAUAGCUAGGUUGAAAUCCUGCUUUAGCUUCCAUAAAAGACGACCUAGGAAAGUAUCUAGCUUUGAACAUUCUUGCCACAAGUGAUGAUGUGUCUUGCAUGAUCCUCCAACAUUGUUUCCCUAGGAGAGCACUGUUGAAAUCAGAGAAGGAUCUGAAACCUAACCCUCCUUUCCCUUUAACAGCACCCAUUCUUUUCCAACUAACCCAAUGCACCUUUCUGCAAGUUUCAUCUGAUCCCCACCAAAACUUAGCAAGCAUUCCUUCAAUGGCAUGACAACAUCCUUCCGGUAACUUGUAGCAGCUCAUGAUGUAAUUCGGAAUGGCUUGUGCAACAGCUUUAAUUAGAGUCUCUUUUCCGACCCGGGAUAGGAAUUUCUCUUUCCAACCUUUAACCUUUUUCCAGACUCUCUCCUAAACAAAUGAAAAUAUAUCCCUUUUAGAUCUUCCAAACACAACUGGAAGGCCUAGGUACCUUGAGUGGGAUGUCACACAGUCUUUAUAGCUAUCUGCUGACAGAUCAUUUCUUUCUCUUGAUUUUGGACAUUUCGACUAUAUGACAAAAGUUAUGGUCAAUCCUUGUAGAUCAUAUUCAUGGUCAAUAGGAUUACUCUUUCCGUCACAUCGUCUGUAAAUACCACUUGUAAGUUUAGGGUUUAGACACAUUUAAUCAAUCAAAAUAUCAUUUUCACUUGCUUUUACAUCUGUCUAUUUUUUAUUUUACUGUUAUUUUCUUAGCUUAGUUCUCAAAAUUCCUAAAUUUUUUUAUUUAAGUUCUUAGGAGAAGUUAUGCAACCCACAAUUGAGGGAUAAAACGUAUUUCCUAGCGUAAUCAUCUAAAGAAAUGAGAAUUACUUUGAAAGCUAUUACUCAAAUUCUCGUUAACUAUUAAAUUCGAUAAUAAUAGGUAUUGUUCAAAAGACGUAAAAACAACUCCAAAUUCGAUAUUCAUGUAAAUGCUUAGAAUAAUGAUGUAGACCAAAUGGACUUCAAUUCGAUAUAUUCGUUGCAGUCUUAUAAUAAGGUAGGGACAAAUUGAAUAAACAAAUAGAAGUUCUAUGACUAAAGAAUGUGAAAGCAUAAAAUGAUAUGCAUAGGUAGCCAAUUUUGAAACUUGGCCGUCCUUGAAUUCCGAGGUUAUAUAUCAUUGAGUUGAAAACACUCUUUUGAAAAUAUUAGCUCCAUAAUUUAUUUAUUGAUUUAAAAAAUAAUACAAGUUGUAUUUUAAAUGAUAAAAAACAUAACUAUAAAAUUCAUACAUAUUAAAUAUUGAGAAGAAAGAAAUUACAAGUUCAAAUCGAUAUCCCGGAAUAUCCAUAAUAGAAGCUCUUUAUUUCCGAAAGUGGUAAUUACACUUGAUAGUGGUAAUAGAUAUAAAUUUUAUGUUUGAUUAUUUUUGUGAACAAAAUUAUAUGAUAAAGGAUAUGUUUAGGCAUCUCCAACAAAUUAAUAGACUUUUGCCUACGGUUUGCAAAAAAGAAACUAAAAAAAUUAAAUAAAUUUAAUUGCAUGUUUGAUCCCUUAAAUUUAAUUUAAGUUUUAGUGUUGAUCUCUUAUGUUUUAAAAGUUUUAAUUGGUCUAAAAUAUUAUUCACAUUGAAAUAAGUUAAUCAUUUCUGUCACUUGCUCGUUUAGAUAUUUGAGUUGAGAAUACAGGUGUUGAAGUUUAACUUAUUAAAAAAAUCAAUUUUUAUUUUUAUUUUAUUAAACUCAAUAUUAUGUGACGGAAGAGAUUAACUAAUUGAAAUGUGAAUAACGUUUUAGACCAACUUGAAUUUUUUAAAACAUAAGAGACAAACUUAAAACUUUUAAAGUUUAAGGAAUCAAUUUAAAACCUAACAUGAACGUAUGGGACCAAACAUAUAAUUAAGAAAAAAAAUACUACCUCCUUUCUUUUUUUAUAAGAAAAUUUGGGUCAACAUUUUUGAACCAAAUUAUAAUUCUUAUUGACCAAUAUGUCUCCUAUAAAAAAGCAUCGUAACAAAAUUUAUCAGUGUGAUUUGAGGAAUGAACACAGACGUGUCGUAUAAAUUUGAAGUAUUAAGUCGUAUGAUCUCAUUGUCAUUUGAUUUGUUUAUGUGUCGUAUAUAGAAAACUCAUUUAUUGUCACUACGUGAACAAUUCAUUGAACCCAACAAGAAUUCAUUCUUGUUAAUACGUGGGUGAUUAUCAUUCUAGUUCUAGAACAUAAACUUUAGUUUUGUACUAUCACUAAUAUUCUAUAAUUUCUUUUUUAAAAUCAAAUAUCUUUAACGAGUAUAUACUAAUAGAAUCAUAAUAAAUCAUACAAAACUAGGGGCGGCAUGGGAAGGUCAUGGCCACCCCAUUUUUGUCUCUUUUUAUAGUGCUAUAAGUAAUUACUUCACUUUUUCUUUUAUUUUUGUCUUUUGAGUUUUUUUUCUUUAUUUUGGUCCUUAAAUUAUAAAUGUUAGACGAUUUAAUUUUUAAGUUUUUUAAAUUUCUUUUUGGUCACUUAAUCAACAAAUACUAGAUAUUUUGAUUUUAAGUUACAAACUUUAGACAUUUUAAUCUAUCCUAUUAAAAAUUGAAAUGUCUUAAUAUUUCUAACUUAAGAAACAAAAGUGUCCAACUUCCAAAAUAUAAGGGACGAAAAUAAAACGAAAAAAAAUAAAGAACCAAAUUAUAUAUAAUUUGUAACUUAAGAAACUAAAAUUAAAGAUAAAAGACUUAAGGGGCUAAAGCAAAAUCUAAAAUAACUUAAAUAACAAAAAAUAUAAUUUAACCUAUAUAAAAUUACUUAACUUUAAAAAAAUUGGAACAAUAUUUUUAUUUUAAAUGGUAUAUAAAGGGGGCCCUCUUAAGUAUUAUUUCUAACUCUACCACUUAUUAUAUGACAAAAUAAGGUUAUUAUAUUUCUUAUCAUGUGCGGUUAAACACAUGAUACAAUACUUUUUUGUCAUGACUAUCUCAUAUUCUAUCAUUAUCUUACUUUACAUCAUUCUAUAUUACUUCAUUCUUAACAAUACAAGACAAUUAACUUUUUAGAUGUAUUGUACAAACUAUGUAUUUGAUCUAAUUAUAUAACAGAAACAUCGCUUAUUUAAUAAAUUUAAUUCUUUUUUGUACUAAUUUUGAUGUAGGUGAUCUCUUUAGGUAUUCUACUAUAGGAGACUUGAUUUUUUAAAUAGAUGGUAAUCAUUGGAUGUACUUGAUAUUUUUUGAAGACCAUAAUAUUAUUAUACUCUUUUAAUACUGGAUUUAUUUUACACUAUAUUCCAUCAUCCUUCUCUCUCCCCUUCCUGUCUGCUUAUUGGCCCACUGGCCACCACGAACAACAAUAGCAUGCUCUCAAAUAUAAUGUGUUAGAAAGAAAUAUGGAGUCUUCAAUCAUUGUUCUUAUUAAGAUUGAAGAUUUUUGCAGAUAAUUAAGAUUGUACUUCUAUAUUCAUGUUAUUUUGGAUUUUGGAUCUUCAAUAAGCAUAAGGUUAAUUGUUAUUCAUUAGAGUCCAUUUGGUGCACAUGAUAUGAUAGAGAUAUGAUAUGAUUAGAAAAAUUGAUAAAGAUAGAAUAUGAUAAUGGCAGGAUAAAUAUUUAUCCCCUCAUGCAUUUGAUGCACACAUAAUAAGAAAUAUGAUAACAUUAUUUUAUCCUAUCAUAUGUUUGGUGGAAAAACUUAACAACGUGCAUAUUCAUCUCCAUCGUCAAUCUAAGUGACUUUAAUAUCAAACAUUUAUUUACAGAUUAGUGUCAAAGUCUCAUUGAUAGGUUCGUUCACAAAUCAUUUUGGCUCUGUUUGGUAAAAAUAGCGGAUAGCUGAUAAGCUAGCUGAUAGCUUUUAGCUGAUAAGCUAAUUGAAGUGUUUGGUAAAAAUAGCAGUUCAACUAGCUAAUAAAUGUAAAAUGACAUAAAGGGUAUUCUUAAUUCAUAAUAAAAAUUAUAUCAUUAAUUUAAGUAUUUGUAAUUUUAUAAACUAAUUUUUCUUUAAAAAGAUACUUUAAAUUUAUUAAUUUAAUAUAUCCUAUGUAUUAUAAAUUAAAUUAAAUUUUAUUCACUAAAAUUUUAUCUUAUAUUUAUUAUCAUUUAAGUGUUUUCACUUUAUAAAAAAAAUAACAUUUACCUCAAAAACAAAAAAAAAGGUAGCACUAAUAGAGUAAUACUAAUAACAGAGAAUAAAGAAAAUAACACUUACCUCAAAAAAAAAAAAAACACUAAUAGAAUAAUAGUAUUUUGUUUCGUAAAAAAAAACGAAGGUAUAUAUUUUUUCAAAAAAAAAAAAAAAAGGUCAGCUAAUAUAUAUACAAAAAUUGGAAUAAAGGGAUAAUAGUCUUUAUUAUGUAGCUUAUUAUAAAAAUUAUAAUGGAUAAAAAUACAAUUUAAAUGAAAUAAUAAGGGUAAAAUUGGAAGAAAAAGUGAGAAGUUAUAAGCUAUAAGUUCAAACGUUACUUGAAAUAGCUUCUGAAAAAUAGCUUAUAAACUUGUGAAAUAAGUUAUAAACUCAUGGUGAAAAGGUGUUACCGAACAGAGCUUUUUUUGUCAAACGAGCUUAUAAGCUAUAAGUUAAAAGCUAAAAGCUUUUUUUUGGUUAACCAAACAGACCCAAACUUAUAAGCUUUGUAUAACGAAAAUGAAUCCGUCACUAUUUUGUCUCUCCAUUGUGUCACAAACUUGUACUCUAUCGCUAUACCAAGCCAGAUUCAUCCCAGUCAAAAAAAGCCUGAUGAACCUUUUUCUUUACCGAAAGUAAAUAAAUAUAUAUACUCAUAUAUAUGAAUGACAACUGAUUUUAGUGGGACCUGUCUUUCUAUAAUUAAAAUAAACAGGGAGAUUUUAUUAUUAUUAUUAUUAUAGUUGAACAUUUUAAUAGACGAACAAUGAAAAAUAACUUAAUUCUUUAUCAAACUUAAAUCUAGAUAUACAAAAUUAAAAUCCAAAAUUAAUUACUAAUUUUAAUUAGACAUUAUUUUAUACAAAUUUGCUCAUAACAACACAAUCUUUUCAAACCUCAAAUUUUAAAACAUACAUCUUGAAUAUUACUUUUGGUAUAAACAUCUUGAAUAUCAUAUUGACACUAAAAUUCAGAUAAAGUUAAAUAUUUUAGAUAUUAUAAAACUGAAACAAGCAAAUUAAAAAUACAACAUAUAGUCUCCAUGAGCUUAGCUCAGUUGGCAAUGACAUUGCAUAAUAUAUGUAGGGGUUGAGAUUCGAACCCCAGACAUCUCACUUCUGCAUAUUUAAUAUGUGUGAGCUCUAUCCACCAGACUACUUGACAAAAAAAAAAAUACAAUAUAUAGUAUACAAUAAAAUAUUUCGGCUUAUAAAAAAAUACGAUGAAAUAUUUUGUAUGUCGGUGUCCUUUUCCUCAUGUAGAUAAAUGAUAUUAAAAUACUUUUGUGGAAGAAAAAAAUUAUAUUAAAAUGCAUAACAGUAAAUUAAGAUUUUUUUAAAUAAUAAUAAAUUAAAGUUUAUUUUAGAAGUAAUAAUAAGGUAAAGAUUGUUAAAUCAACAUUUGUCCUCGUAAGGUUAGCUCAGUUGAUUAGGAUAAUGCAUAAAAUAUGCAAGGUCGGGGUUCAAACCUCGACCACUACCAAAAAUAAAAAUCAACAUUUGAACUCAAAAUUAUAAGUGCCCGACAACUAAAUAUAUUGAAUUUUCUUUCAAAAAAAAACUAAAUAUAUUCCUUUAAGUUAAAAAAACAUCAAUCAAUUUAAUUCUUUCAACAAAAUAUCUUAUCAAAAGACCUAGAUAUAUUUUUUUGGGAAACUAUGUUAUUAGUGUGCAUCAUUUAUUGAUUUUAGUGAUCAUUAACUUCCGUUGAAGAAUCUAGUCAAAUAAGAUAUCUACCAAAAUAUAUAAAUAAAUAUAAAAAAAAAAAAUAUAUUGUCUUAAAUUUAAAAGUAACUUAAUCGACCAAUACUCUUCAAUUUGAAAAACUAACUUGCUAAUUUAUAAAUUUAAAAGACUAAAAAUCUAACUUUUACAAUUUCAAAGACAAAAAUGUUGAUUUACAAAACAAUCUACACCUAUCUUGUUCUAAAAACACAAACGAGUGCUAGACUUAUUCACAUAUUGUCAAAUUUAUACAGCACAAAGAUAUGCAUUAAUUGACCCAAUAAUAUUAAAAUAUCACUAGUUCACGAUCAGGACUCACCAACAACCUCAAUGAGCUGAACAAAGUGAGAUUUCCAAAUAGGUCCUACCAAAGUUCUAUAAAUAUCAUCCCUCACUAUGUCAUAAACCGCAUCACAAACUAAAUUAGUUGUAUUCAUAUUAUAUACCACUUCUUUCAUUUACUUCUUGAAUUUUGAUCCUUUUUAAUUAUCUUGAUAUAUAUCAUGGGUGUUUUUACUUUCAAUGAUGAACAUGUCUCAACCGUGGCUCCAGCUAAACUCUACAAAGCUCUUGCAAAAGAUGCUGAUGAAAUUGUCCCAAAGGUGAUUUCUGCUGCCCAAAGUGUUGAAAUUGUUGAAGGAAAUGGAGGACCAGGAACCAUUAAGAAGUUAUCCAUUGUUGAAGGUAAUUAAGAUCACAUACUAUGUACAAAUAUAUAAUACUUAACAUCAAAUGAUACAUAGUGUUCGCGUAAAAUUGUUUUGCACCGACAACCGAUCAAUGUUUGUCGGUACAACAAAGAAUUGGGUUACUACCUUUUAUUUGAAAAUUGACAAACAUGAUGUGACAAAUUAAAGAGUUGUAAUUGAUUAAAUGAUACAUAGUUUUAAUAAUUUGAUUAAAUGAUUCACAAAUAAGUUAAGUUAAAUUCAUUAUUACCAAAAAAACAAAGUUAAAUUCAAGUGUAGUAAAAAAAAAAUUAUUCAAUUCUAUUUGGAUAGUCAUUGUAGAAUUUUAAAAUAUAAUCUUGAGAAAUAAAGGAGACAAUACAUAAGCUUGUACCAAGGGCAUGUCUAAUAAUUAUGGACCUUCAAAAAAAAAAUGAUUCAGGUGAUUCAGGACACUUGGUAAAGUUCAAAACGAUCUUUAACCGAAAGAGUUUUUAGUCAAACUAUACUUAUAUUGAAAAAAGAACUAUAUAAAUAAGGAAAAUGUUAACAAGUGUCCUUAAGGUAUUGUUUAAGCAUCCAAAAUUAGUAGUUUUUACUUUGAAAAUUGUGUAAUUAUGACUUGUAUAUAUGUUUGACUUGUAUUUUCAAGACAAACUUUUUUUUUGUGGAUUCCUUUAACAAUGUCCUUAAGACACUUGUUAACAAGACCAUGUAAAUAAUUAUAAUGGUUAUAUUGCAGAUGGCAAAACCAACUUUGUGCUACACAAAUUAGAUGCAGUAGAUGAGGCAAACUAUGGAUAUAACUACAGCUUAGUAGGAGGAACAGGGUUGGAUGAAAGUUUAGAGAAAGUUGAAUUCGAGACAAAUAUUGUUGCUGGGUCUGAUGGUGGAUCCAUUGUUAAGAUUUCAGUGAAAUAUCACACCAAAGGUGAUGCAGUUCUAUCUGAUGCAGUACGUGAGGAGACUAAGGCCAAAGGAACUGGUCUUAUCAAGGCUAUUGAGGGCUACGUCUUGGCAAACCCUAAUUACUAGCCAAUUAAACCCUAUUGAGGACUUUAAUUUGGGUUGUGUUGUUUUAUGCGAAUAAUAAUUAAAGUUUAUGAUGUAGUUGAAUGUGUGUUGAGUAUACAUCAAGGUCUUUGGUUCGUACAUGUGUGUUGGCUAUGUUGGAUGUUGUGAGGUUUGAGUGUUAUUUUGGGUGUUUAAAAACAAAAACCUAUGUUGUGUUGGUGAUAAGGUUUUGCACCAUUUGUAUUCUGCAAUAAAUAAUGCAAAAGAAUUUUAUAGCACUUUCGGUUAUUUGAAUUUAAUUUAGGAUCACAUCAAACUAACAGUGCAUAUGACUUUCGAUUGGUAAUUUUAACCAAAGCUGUCUACAAUUAUUUAAAUAGUUUGGUUGAGUUUUGUCUUGAAUUGAUUUGAGCAAUUUAAAGUAAGUGAAUCAUAUUUUGAAAGAGUCAUCAUGACAAAUUUGAUUUUUAAAACAAAACCCCCAGUGUGUAAAAUAAGCAUGAUGAUGAGGCGGGUGAUGAUGAGUUUUACCUUCCCCAUCCUUAUACCCUACUCUCAUAUACUUACCUGCCACUUUACCUAUAUCUAAUGAGGGUGAGAAGUCGAACCCCAUCACUGUCUCCGACGGGUUUAGGUAUCCCCGCGUCAUCUCCGUUGUGGAUAAUUUUUUUUAAUGAAAAAAGUGUUUUUCUACUUCAGGCGCAAUGUUGUAAUACAUUAUCCUACAAAGAGAUGAUGACGAUCGAUAACUACGUUGAUGGAGAAGUGAGAGACCGAGAUUGAGAAGUGAGAAUCAUCUGAGAGACUAAGACUCUGACUAUGUGAGGAGAAUAAAGAGAACUCUGAGAAGUGAGUGUCAUCUGAGAGACUAAGUUUUGAUUGUGUGAGUGAAAUGAUUUAGGGUUUGAGUUUCUAUUUAUAUAAAAUGGAUAAUAAAUUGAUUUUCUACAUGUGGGGCGGGUUUGAGUGUGGGUUCGGGGUGAAUACAUAUAUCCUCGUUACCUAUCCAGUAUCCAUGUUUUGAAUCAUGGAAAAUUCAAACUCAUACCCAAAUCCAAUAAAAGCAGAGAAAAUCCGUCAAAUUAGAUUUGUUUCAAAUGGGUACCCGCAGAUAUGCAUUUUGUUGUCUUACCUCAAAAUCACUAUUUAGUAUAGAAAAGUUAACUUGUAACUAAUGUACAACUUAAAGUUAAGAAGUUAAAUGCAAAAUUAUAUUUAGAAAUUGCGCAUUUCUUAUCCUAAAGUUUCUUCUUUUUCAAGGGUAAUUCCUUGAGAGUUUAAAAACUAAAUUUUAAUUCAAUACAAAAAUUUUGUUUUGAUUUCAUUUUUAGAUCGUUAAUUUGUGUCCUUGGUAUACAAAUUAACCUAACUCAUUGAGUAUGUGUUUGUUUUUUCUUAAAAAGAGUAUGUGUUUAGCUGUAAAAUAACAUUAAACAUGAGUCGUCCAACCUGACACUCUAAUUAGUAGCUUCUGAACCUCAUGAUUAAAUGGUAACUCACAUUGGCUGUGAACUAACUCUAUCCCAAAUUGGUGCUUAAUACGCUAAUUUAGGGAUAUUUGUGGUGCAGUUUGAAUUAGUUUUGAUGCAAAUAGUCAUCAUAUUUAAAAUAAAAAUCGCAUGCGGAAAAUAUAGGGUAAAAUAUAACGUUUAAUGGAAAAUAUAGCAUGAAUAUAUAUUAAAAAAUAAUAUUACAGAAUAAAAAUUAUCAAUUAUAUUCUAAACAUAGGAAGAAGUAAUACUAUACAAUAAAUUAAUGCAAUAUAUAAAAAAAAAUAAAAAAUAAAACCGAGAAGCUAUAUAUUAAUGCAAUACACACACUAAUAAAAUAAUAAAUAAGUAUUAAAAUUUACAAAACAACAUCCAAAAAAAAUCAAUUUUUUUGUUGUUGUUUUUUUUGGAUUAGUGUACGGUUUUAUUUUGGAUGCGUUUGAAUUUGAAUAACCACAUGCCUACUAGGCUAACUGUGUAUAUUAUUUAGGAAAUGUCAUAAAAGGUACUCCCUCAAUCUUAAAUAAUUAUCAUUAUUUAACUUUCAUCCAUAUCAAUGUACAAUUUUAACUAUUAAUAUUCUUAGUUAUUUAUUAAUAAAAGUUGUAAAAAAUUGAUAUUUUAAAAAUAUUCGUUGAGAUAAAUUGAACAAUAUUUUAUUUACUAACAUUUUAUUUACAAAUAUGAUCAAAGUAGAUUAUGUGAAUCGUACGUAUGGUCAAACUAUGACAAUAAUUUUGAAAUAGAUGGAGUAAUUUUGAAAAUAGAAAAGAGAAAUGUUAGCUAGUGCCUUCCGGUGCACUAGCUAUAUGAAAAACGUGUGGAGUAAUUUUGAAACCAAUAUAGAAAAUUGUGUUGAGAAGUAUGAAAAAGUUGUACGUUCAACUUUUUAAAAGUCAAAAAUUUAUUAUUUUUAUAAAAAAAAAAAUCUACUUCUAAUUUUUUUAACUAAUGCUCCAUAAUCAAUAGUUAGCAUGACUGGAUAAAAAAUGACAUAUCAUAUCAUACUAACAAAUGUUCUAAAGUUACAUUGUUAUGGACAUUUGUUAGCAUUUUUUACUUUUAUUAAAAAAAUAGGCAUUUCACACGGUUACUUUUGGCUUUAUCACAUUUUGCGUUCACAUAUCUUUGUAAAUAAAUAUGCCUUAUAUUGAUCAGGAGUAAAUUGGAACACAACUAGCAUCUCUCCAUUUCUCUCUAUCAUCAUGUGUAUAUCACAAUUUUUUGAAGAAGUUAAAGAAAUCAUGUUAAAAAUCAAAUAAAGCUCCUUUAACAUAUGGUGCGUCAAAGCAACCUAAUAAUCCAAACAGCUCACAUUACAACAUGUCGUAACAACCCAACAAAAAAUUAGAAAACUAUCUUUAAGCAAAACAAAGGAUUUUGCCUCGAAAACACGUGAUAUAAUUUUAACCACCAAUAAAUUUGUAGUUUAAUUUUUUCACUCAGAGAUUGAAGUUGAUUACUCUUCUGUUGAAAGAUCCUAACAUUUCUUUCUUUGAAAUGACGCAAAGCACUGAAAAGUCGAAAGAAGUUCUCCUUGGCGAAUCCCUUUUUUCAACUUAAACUCAUUAGUAAGGCUACCAUUCACAAGUACCGAAGUCGUUGCUGUUGAGACACAUUCUAAAAUCCAUUGACUCCAGCGCUAAGGGUAAUUCAGUUUGGUCAUCAAAUCUCCCAAAUACCUCCAAUGAACUGAGUCAUAGGUUUUUUUGAAAUCAACCUUAAAAAGAAUAAGUUCUUUCUUAGAUUUACACGCAUCACCCUUUAACUCAUUGGCUAUCAGAAUUGCAUCUAAAAUUUGUCUACCUUUUACAAAAGCAAACUAAGAUUCUGAAACACCAUUACUAACCACCUUCCUCAAUCUAUUAGCAAGAACUUUUGACAAAAUUUUAUACACCCUCCGUCCCUUAAUGUAGGCACCUAUUGCCUUUUCACAUUUCUUAAGAAAUGUUGUCAGUGUAAUUAAUGUGUUUGUUUUGUGUGUUAAUAAUUAUCCUUGGUUUGUAUGUAUUAAAUUUGACUUUUCAUAUUUCAAGACAAGUUAGUAGUAUUAAUUAGGGAUAUGUUUAGGAAAAAAUUAAUAAACGCAUCUAGUAAUUUGAAAUGGAAUUUAAAUUUAGAGAAAAAAAUAAAAUCAAACGGAAACUUAGAUAUAAGGACGGGGGAGUAUAAGCUACCAACCAAAGAAAUAGGUUGAAAAUAUGCCAACUUCUAAAGACUCUUAGCUUUGGGAAUCGAAGUAAUAAAAGUAUUUAUGUCCUUUGUUAACUUACCAUUGUGAUGAAACUCAACAAACAAAUUCUUUGAUAAAACCAAUAUUAAUCUCAUCUUGCUCAGGACUCUUAUAACUAUCACAAUCUCACACUCAUGCCUCUAUCUCUUCCAACAAAAAAGGUAUAAUAAGAUCAGCCACAUCCUUCAUACUAAUAGUUUUAAAAGAAAGAUCCCCUAACCCAGGUCUGGACUCCAUUGCAACUUUAAAAUUAGAUUGAAAAUGUUGAAAAGCCACACUCCUCGCCCCUUCCACACCCUUAAUCUGAACACCUUUAACAUUAAUAGAAAUAAUCACAGUUGACCCGUCUCCUAGAAGACACCACCCCAUGGAAAAAAAAAAAAAAAACGAAUUAGCACCACCCUUCUUUAACCAAGUCGAUCUAGAUUUUUGCCACUGAAUACUAAAAUGUAAUUUAUAUAAAGCCACAACAUCUGCUAAUAGAAAUCAAAGAGAGAAAUCAACAUAUCAAACAAAACGAAACCGAAGAACCAAUGCAAAUUGAACUAAAUAACCAACCUAAAUCAAACCACCAUUAAUCAAAUCAUCCUUAUCAAAUCCACCAAUCAAUCACAAUACUAACAAUUCCAUCGUGUGAAGAACAAUGAAUUCAAAUGGAGAAAAACUAAUGGAUAUCAAAAUAAAUCCAUAGAGAACAACCGUGACAAUUGCUUAACAAAUAGUAAUUCAACUAAAAAGAAAAGUCCUAAUCCAACAAAAACCAACACAUUAAUAUCCAAGUGCCAUCAGGACUCAACUGAAUCUUUGAAUCAAAAAAAUAAUAGAUAGCUAAAACAAUAAAUCUUAUAGUUUACAAACAAAUCAAAAUGCAAAACAGAUUCCUAAUUUUUUUUUUUUUUUUUUUGAAAAAUUAACAACGGAAUAGCCGUGAAUCAUAUAAGGAGGGUCAAAACAUGCUCUUGAUACCAUGUUAACAAUAUUAGGUUUAGAGCUCUUAUACAUGGAGCAUCGUAGGUGACAUACAAACUUUCACGGUGUGAUGUGAAAUUACUAAAAUACCCCUGUCACAUGGGGGUAUACAUGAGAGGUACAUAAAAAAGGAUGUCUAUCUAUCUUUUUUCAUAGAUUUAAUAAAAAAGGGAGAAUAACACAAAACAACUAGAAUUUUAUAAAAUGUAGAUGACUUAACAUUACAAAAGGUUAACAUAAACCUAAUGGAUUACUAACUUAAUAAUAGUUUAAGUUAAAAACUUUAUUAUCUAACCAAUUUUAUCUACUUCCAAUAUAUCACCUACGAAUUUUCUAUUUUUGAAUCCCGUCUACACUCUGAGUCAUGGAAUACUGCGAGACUAUUUCAUAUUGAUUUUCGUAACCCAAUUCAAGAUAACACAAAGAGGGUUGACCCAAUCACAAUCACCAAUAAAUAAAUGAGCUUUUGUCAAAAAAAGACGACCUGAUCAAUGAGCUAUUUUUCAACAAAAUAAAGUGAGAUUUACGAACAAGCCACAAGGUAUGUCCUACCAAAGUUCUAUAAAUACCAUUCCUCACCAUCUCAUAAACCCACAUCACAAGCGAAAUUAGUUGUAUUCAUAUUAUACAUUUCUCUUUUCAUUUUCUUCUUGUAUAUUGAUCCUUUUUAACUAUCUUGAUAUAUAUCAUGGGUGUUUUUACUUUCAACGAUGAACAUGUCUCAACCGUGGCUCCAGCUAAACUCUACAAAGCUCUUGCAAAAGAUGCUGAUGAAAUAGUCCCAAAGGUGAUUUCUGCUGCCCAAAGUGUUGAAAUUGUUGAAGGAAAUGGUGGACCUGGCACCAUCAAAAAGUUAUCCAUGUCUGAAGGUAAUUCAUUAAGAGCAUUUACUAUAUCCCUGUCAAAAAAAUACAACUUUAUUAAUUAGUAAUUCAAUAGACAUGUUAAGAAAUCAUAUACUCACUUUUAUUUUUGAAUUAGAUUUUGAGUGUUGAAGGAGACCAAUGAUAAUACAUAAACUGAGUCUAUAUAUAAAUAAUAAGCUUCAAGAAACAACUAAUUUCCAUGGAAAAAGAAUAUAUAAGAUACUUCAUGCAAGAUUCAAGAGAACCACUAAACUGGAGACAGGGCCGGCCUAAGGACCAAACAACCUAAACAAGGGUUUUAGGCUUCAAAACUUUUGGUAAAAAAAAAGGUCUUUAAAAAAUUAAUUUGGUCAUAAGUAUAUUAUAUGACAGAUAAAUUACAGACAUUUGAAUAGCUUAACUGAUCAAAAAGGUUUUAAUUACUCAUGGUCAUGAAUUCAAAUUUUGGUCUCCACGCAAUUGCUUUUAUAUAAAUAUUCUAUUAAAAAAAUAAUUUCAAAGGCCACAUUAAAUUUUUUGAUUUAAGCCUCUUAAUCUGUUGGGUCGGCCAUGGCAGGAGAUCCAACUAUUUGUAUAAACUACAGUCGUUGAAAUGUAACUAUUGUGAGAGUGUUGCUUGUUUUCAUUAUAUAUAGUAGUUAUAUAUUCAAAUGAAAUGAAUGAUCAAAUUAACACUAAAAUUUAGUUAAAAUCAUUUCAAAUAUCAAUAUAUUAUUGUCAAGAUUAAAUUAUGUAAUUUUAUAUGAUUUCAACCUAAUGGUAAAGAGUGGUUAUAAUAUAUCCAGAUUAAUUGUAAAUAGACUCGUAUUCAAUAAUUAUAGUAAUUAAGAUCAACUUUUUAAUCAGCCCAAUAAAAUGUGUGGUCUACAACUAUAAGAUUCACACAAUAUUAUAGUAAAAUAGACUUAACAAUCAAGUGAUUAAAUAUAUCCAGUUACAUUAGAAUUGAUCUAUGACAAAAACAAUUUUUAGUCGAACUUUACUUUCAUUUUGAGGGAACCAACUUAUAUAAAUUAUGAUGGUUGUAUUGUAGGUGGCAAAACCGACUAUGUGCUACACAAAUUAGAAGCAAUGGAUGAAGCAAACUUGGGAUACAACUAUAGCAUUGUAGGAGGAACAGGGUUGGAUGAAAGUUUAGAAAAAGUUGAAUUCGAGACAAGUAUUGUGGCUGGCUCUGAUGGUGGAUCCAUUGUUAAGAUUUCAGUGAAAUACCACACCAAAGGUGAUGCAACUCUAUCUGAUGCAGUGCGUGAUGAAACUAAGACCAAAGGAACUGGACUUAUCAAGGCCAUUGAGGGAUACGUUUUGGCAAACCCUAAUUAUUAAGUAAAAUGUAUACUUGGUUGUGUUGUGUCAUACCAAUAAUAAUUGAAGUUUAUGAUAUGGUUGUUUGAUUUAUACAUCACGAUUUCUAGCUUAUACAUGUGUGUGGGCUUUGUUGUUUAAUUACAAAAAUCUAUGUGUUGAUGUUGAGGUUUUGUACCAUCUAUAAUUCUGUAAUAAAUAAUGAAGAAUUUUCUAGCACUUUUCAUUCGGUAUUUUAACUUUAUAUGCCUUGACCAUUAUUGGUACACCAAUUUCCUUUCCUCUUGUUAUCCUUUUUUUUUCUUUCUUUGGAUUUAUUUUUGACUUGUAACACAUAAAAACUCAACUCAUCACUAGCAUGCUUUGAAUUUUACUAUGGCUGAGAAAAAGUAAAAACAUAAUGUGAGUAUGAUAGAGAAAGUUGUCAUAUAAUGGUUAUAUAAAUAUUAUUUCUCUAUCAUAAAUGUAAAGUGGAAGAUAUUGAAUUGAGAGUGAUGAAAUUUGUAUGGGUCUUGUUAACGAGUGCCCCCGAGGGCACUCUUUAAGCAUACUAAAUUAGAAAAUUAUUCUUUAAAAAAUUCAAAUAAUUCAAUUUCCAAUGCAUUGAAUACAUAACUUUUCAUAAAAAGUUACUAUUUAAGACCCUUAAAGAGUGUCCCCAGGGCACUAGUUAACAUUUCUGAAUUAUAGUAUUAAUUAAGAUGUAUAAUUGAAAAAAGAUAGUUAAUUAAUAUUAUAUUAAAAAGUGAAAUUGAUCAUUCAUUUUAGAUCUUUCUUCUUUUUUACAAAUAAAUUACUUAUUGUGGAACAUGAGGAGUAUCAUUUAUGCUCAAACUAAUCAUGCAAACUCUAAUAUAUAUAAACAAUUAUAAAUCAAAUAGACUUCAAUUUGAUAUUCCUUGCACUCGAAUAAUUUGGUAAGAGACAAAUUAAAUAAAGGAAUUUAAGUUUUUAUAAAUAAUCAACAUGUUAUAAGAUACAAUUGUUUGAAAAAGAAGAAUGGUGGUUUGCGGGUUAGGGUCUCUUAGUUAAUCAUCUAUUUCUGUUUCAUGUUUUUUUUUUUAAUAAUUUAUUUCUGUUUCAUGUUAUUUACCAACUUUAUAUUAGUUUUUUUGUAACUUUUUUAGUACAACUUGUGCUGAAAAGAUUUUGGUUAAUGAUAUUCUAUUUUGACAUGCUAAAAAAAAUGAUGAAUGUGAACCCGUUAAAUAAGUAAACGAUAUAGUACAUAGGUUGCAUAUUUUUAAACUUUGCCGUCUUUGAAUUGAAUUCUUGAUGCUUUUGUCCAAGUCAAAUUUCGAUUUUUAAUUCCUUUGCCCAUCUCUUCAUCGGCCAAAACUUCUGAGCUAAUAAGUCAUUGAUCUAUAUCUAUAUAUCUAUCUAAAGAAAAGUCAUUGAGUUGAAAAUAUCAUUUUGAAGAUAUGCUCUACAAUUUAUGGUUUUGAAAAAUAAUACACGCUCUCUAAUAUGGACAGCUUUGUUUUACACACUUAUUAAUCCUACUUAUUAAAGGUGCUACUAGCUAGUAACAGAUGGGAAACUUUUUGUUUCAAGUUUACCAAAUUUAUUUUUGGUGAUAACAUUUCUUGGAACAUAAAGAUGAGAAUUUUAUUCUAAAAUAUUUAGAAAAAAGAUGUUUGCUUAACAUUAUAGUAUUCUCAGAAACCAUAAAAAUAAGGAUUAUAAUAGAUAAUUACACAUGAAUCUAUUCCCAUGUUCAUGGGAACUUUAUUCCCACUAGUUUCUGUGAGAAAUUUUUUCCAUUCCCAUAAACAUUUUAUACCUGCGAAUAAAAUUUAAUAAAUUUGUAACAAACAUAGACAUGCAUAUGUCUAUUGUUUUAUUCCCAAAAAUCUACAUAGAUAACUUGAAAUAAACGUACCCUUAAAUUUAAUUAUUUACUGAAAAGAAAAAUGUGAUAAGGAAUCUGUUUCUACACCUCCAGGAAACACUAUCUCUUUUUCUUUUACGGAUCAAAGCUACAUUAUUUAGUUCCGUAAAUACAAUUUGAAUGGUAAAAAAUUUAAAGAUAUUUGAUUAAUUGGAGUGCGAGUUUGAAUAUAUAAUUCUUCACUUUAAAUGUUUUAAAGUAGAAUUGAUUUUUUUUGUAAAAUUAAUUCUACUCAAAGCUAAAUGUCGAGGCACGAAUAUUGUUCAAUUCACUUUUACUUAAAUAUAAUAAAACAUAUAUUAUUUUACAUUUAAUCAGAAUUAACUGUACAAAAUUAAUUCAUUUAGAAUCAAAUUUUUGUUGUGUAGCAUAAACAAACACACACUAAAUUACGUAGUUUGAUUUCUUUAUUAAAAAAAAGAAAGAGUAAAAUGAUUUCAUAUUUUGUCUUCAUUCCCAUUAGUUUGUUAUUGUCUUUGUAAUAAAAAAAUUAAAAAAAAUAUUUUUUUUCACUACGUAAAAACUUCACGUAGAUCUUUUUAUCAUUAAUUAAUUCGUGCGUGGUUAUGUACGACUGAGUCUCCUUAUUUUAGGAUAACGACUUCAAAUCUUUCAUACAUCAAUCUUCACCAAACUUUAACGGUGUGUUUGGAUGUAAGAUGAAAAUGAAAAGUGAUAAACAGAUGAGAAAGAGUGUGAGAAGAGAGAAAGCGAUAAGCAAUACAAUAGAUUUGUAGCAUUGAUUAGUAUAAAAAUGAGAAGAGAAAUAUAAAAAAAAAAAACAGAUAUUUUAUUCUUUGAAAAAGACAAAAACAACCUCCAUUAAAAAUAAAAUAGUAAAAUAUCGCUACUAUAUUAUGCUAUCUAAAGUUUGUCAUAAAAAUUAUCCUAUAUUAUAAUUUAUUAGUAUAAUAAUAAAUCUCAUGAAAUAAAGUGAAAAAUUAUUUACUUUUUCAUUGUGCUGUAAAAAAGUACUCCAUGUUAAUCAAUGUAUAAAGCAUUUAAAAGAAAGGGGCAUAAUUGGAAAUAUGCAAUAAAUAGGUUGCUCUAUUGGACUUUCAGGAUUGAAAAAACUGUCGGUACCAAAAAUUAAUUCGAACUUGAAUUAUUUCUUUUAACGCAACUUUAGAUGGCUCCUUGUGACUUUAAUUAAUAAUAUCAAACAUUUAUCUUGUAAAACAAGGUAGGACCUACCAAUAUGUCACUUAGUCAUGGAUUUCUAGACUAAUUCACAUUUUUAGAAUCGAAUUCAAGAUUGUCGACAUCACAAAGAGAAUUGACCCAAUAAAUAAAUAUCAAAAUACUUGAGCUAAAUAAAUAAGUGAGAUUUUGCAAACAAGGUAGGUCCUACCAAAGUUCUAUAAAUAGUAACCCUCAAUGUGUUAUAAACCGCAUCACAAACUAAAAUAGUAGCAUUAUUCAUAUUAUACAUUAAUUUCUCCUUUCAUUUACUUAUUGCAUAUUGAUCCUUUUUAUCUUGAUAUAUAUCAUGGGUUCUUUUGUUUUCAUUGAUGAACAUGUCUCAACUGUGGCUCCAGCUAAACUUUACAAAGCACUUGCAAAAGAUGCUGAUGAAAUCAUCCCAAAGGUGAUUCCAGCUGCUCAGAGUGUUGAAAUUGUUGAAGGAAAUGGAGGACCUGGCACCAUUAAGAAGUUAUCCAUGUCUGAAGGUAAUUGAUUAAGAUUAUAUAACAUUUACACAGUUGAAUUUUUGGGACUAGAGUUGAUUGUUGGUAUAUUGAAAUGAGAUUCAACAAUCAAGUAAUUAACGAUAUCCAGUUACGUUCAGAUUGAUCAAUGACUUAAACAAUUUUUAGUCAAACUUUAUUUAAAUUUGAGGGAACAAAACUUAUAUAAAUUAUGAUGGUUUAAUUGUAGGUGGUAAAACCGACUUUGUGCUACACAAAUUAGAAGCAAUGGAUGAGGCAAACUUGGGAUACAACUAUAGCAUAGUAGGAGGAACAGGAUUGGAUGAAAGUUUAGAGAAAGUUGAAUUUGAGACAAAUAUUGUGGCUGGAUCUGAUGGUGGAUCCAUUGUUAAGAUUUCAGUGAAAUAUCACACCAAAGGUGAUGCAGUUCUAUCUGAAGCUGUACGUGAGGAAACUAAGGCCAAAGGAACUGGACUUAUCAAGGCCAUUGAGGGUUAUGUUUUGGCAAACCCUAAUUACUAGCAAAUUAAACAUUUGCUUUAAUAAUAAUUAAAGACUAUGAUAUGGUUGAAUGUGUGUUGGAUAUUUUGAGGUUUGAGUGUUGUUUUGAGUGUUUAAAAACAAAAACCAAUGUUGUGUUGGUGAUGAGGUUUUGCACCAUCUGUAUUAUGUAAUAAAUAAUGCAAAAGAAUUUUCUAGCACUUUCCGUUAUUUUUUUAGAGGAAUAGCACUUUACAUCAUUUUAAUUUAAUUUAGGAUAACAUCAAACUAAUAGUGCAUGUGGUUUUCAAUUGGUUGAAUUUUAAACUAACACUGUCUACGGUUCGAUUAUUUAAACAGUUUGGUUGAGUUUUGUCUUGAAUUGAUUUGAGCAAAUUAAAGCAAUUGAAUCAUGUUUUGAAAGUCUCAUCAUCUUGUCCAAUAUGAUUUUUAAAACAAAACCUACUGGUUUGAUAAACCGUUAAAAGGGAAUUAGAAUACAUCGAAACAACACAAAUUUUUAUGAUACUAAAAUUAAAGAAGAUAAAAUUGUGAAUACCUAUAAAAGUCUCACAACACCCUAAUUUCUUUUUUCUUUUUUAAAACACAUGUAAGUUAAUAACAUAAAAGGAUAAAAAUACCUAUAAAUACGACAAAUAAAGCAACUAAAAUACUAUAUGCAGAGCCUACCCAACAUUUUGGUAGGCCUAAAGUGAAUUUUUUAUUGAUGCUUUUUAAAGUAAAAUAUUAAACUUUGUUGAACCCAAGGUUUGAACCAAAGAUGCAGAGGAUUUGAGACCUCUUCUUGACGAACUAAAGUUAUGCAAGCAUUUAUAAUUAUUUUAUCAUAUUAUGUAUUUAUAUCUAAAGUUGAUAUGGUCAUUGCGUAUCCACGAGGAUUUGAGGCCUCUUUGUUGCUGCCUACCCACGAGGUUUAAUUUGCAAAAUCAUGGAGUCCAUUGUCUGUCACUUGUGUGGUUUGUAAUAAUGAUUUGAAAGAUCAAAUGCACAUGUUUAUGCACUGUAAUUUUGCUACUGAUUGUUGGAAAGAAGUAAAUCUUUGGGCAAGAUAAAGUCAUACAUAACGUCAAAUGAUAGUUUUUCAUCCAUUAUCUUUGAUAUUCUUGUAGCUAUUUAUUGAGUGUUUGGCAUGCACGUAAUGCUUGUUUAUGGGAGGAAAAACUUGUCGAUGCACAUACAUCUUGCGUCCUGGAAUUAGAUACAGUUCGAGAUUACGUGUGGUGUCAUCGUCUCAACGAUGUUGUGCAGUCUGCUACUCCAACUUAGUCCAAACUGCAGGCAGAUUGGAUCAAGUCUUACAUCGAUUGUGUUCUUUUUGAAGCUGAUGGAAAAUUUAGUGUUGGUAUCUGUUUUCGAGACCGCCUUAUCCAAGAACUAUUCCAUCCUAUAGCAAGAAGCUUAGAUAUUAUCUUAUAAAGCACAUUACAUAAUGAAAUUACCCUCCAUUCCUUCAUACUAGUUGGUUUUGUCACAUUUAGGAAUAAGGCAAAUAUUAUUAUCAUUCAAUUAAUGUGCUCGGAAAAUAACCUAUAUAUAACCACAUAUUCACAACUUCAAAAAUUUCAUCACUACAAAGAUUCCAAAACCUUGAAAAAAAAAACCCGGAUUAAAACCAUGAAGACUCGAUGACUUAUUUGAAUGCAUUUGAAAUAACGUAAGUUUCAGCUCCUCUUUAGUAAACGGUGCUAAAAUAAGGUUGUUGUUUGCAUCGGUUAUCUUUGGUUGAAGGUGACAACUAGGCUACCCAUGAAAGAAUGAUGGGUAAUUUACCCUAACCAAUACACAUUAGCCACAUAAGCACAUAUUCAUGAACUAUCUUGACCCCACAAAUAAAUUGUUCAUUUUCAUUGGUUGGUAGGUAAAUUACCCACCAUUCUUCAAAAGUAAUUUAAAAAGAACCUUGAUGGAAUCAUACCAAUCAUUAAAAUUUUCAAUAUCACAAUCAUUUACCGCCUCCUUAAACCCAAGAUAAAUCCAAUUAGGAUGGGAAUGUUGGCCUCGAAUAUUCUCUUGAGAUAAAAUAUCAUUAAAAUUUCUUAUGAUACACCAAGGCAUAUGAGACAUGUCCCUCAACUCUCUGAGACAUGUCCCUCAACUCUCUGAGCAUAUUCCAAGAAUCUCUUCUUCGACCUCCUUUUGGGUAACCAUAAAAAUCAGUUAACAUUGAUUCUCUUUUUAUUGUAUCUUCCACAAUUAAAUUGAUAUUGUUUAUAGAGUAAUUAAGAAUUUUACACAAGCUAUUAACUUUUCAUAUCACUGCUAUCUAGGGGUGGGAUUAGGUCGAGUCGGGCCAAACUUUACUUAAAUAGGUCAGAUCUAAUUUAAAAAGUUAAAGCCUAGGCGACCUAUUAGCUUGUCAAAGACUUUAUUUUAAGUCUAAGCUUUUUAAAAGUCUAGCCUAAUAUUGUCAAAAAGCCUAGUUUAUGCUAAGAAUUUUAAAUAGAAUAUCUGUUCUAUUUAUAAAAAGGCUAAUAAACAUAUAUUUCUUAGAAGAUUAAUAUGCCAAUAAAAUUUUGUAGAGCUUGUAUAUCAAUUUUGUUUCACUCUGUAAGCAUAUAUUGCAUGUAAAUCGAAUAUAAUUUGGUAAGGCCUCUACAUCAAUUGUAUAGAGGCUAUUAGCCAUAUAUGGGCCGAAAAUUUAUUAAUACAAUGGAGGAGUAUAUAUAUAUAUAUAUAUAUAUAUAUAUAUAUAUAUAUAUGAGGAGGGAUAUUUUGACUUCAAGAGUAAGUUUAUAGACUUAUUCCAAAUCUCCACCUUUCAUCUUAUUUUAAUCUAAUAGUUUAAAUGUGAGUUUUAAUUGUUAAUCAUGUGACCAUUUUUUUGGAUCUCAUUCUUAUAAAUAUUUUCUCCAUUUAAUCUCCCUUAUUAAUUAAUGUAAUAAAUACCUCCCCAAUUUUAUUUUAUUUUUUGGCGCACCUUUGCCAAUUCAAAAAGUGUUUUUUAAUCUUUUUCUCCAACAUUAGAGCAAGGUUGCAGUUUGAAAUAUAAAUUAAAAUGUAAGCUUUCCACUCUCACCUCUUGAACCUAUGGAUGAGAAGAUUUUUUUUAUUGAAAUGUAAAUCAAAAAGGAAAGAAAUGAGAUUGAGAGCCAUCAUGUAGAAUUGAGGUUGGAGUGAAACGGAGAGCCAUCACUCUAUAUCCUAUUGUGAUUUAUAUGAUUAUCCAAUCAAAGAAAUUGGGUGUAUACAAAAUCAAUUGGGUGAGUUAGGGUACAAAGCAUUAGGAGGAAAUUUUGUUGUUUUCUGAGAGUUAAAAUAAAUAAAAAAGUAAUUAAGGGAUAAAUGAAAUUUGUUUUAUGAGAAUAAAAUAAAAAAACUUAAAAGUGUGUUUAUGAGAGAAAGGAAAUUUGAUUUAUGAGAAUUAAUUAAGGGAGAAUAAUUGGAGAAGGUAUUUAGAUCCACAAAGAUGGUCAUAUGAUUAACAAUUAAAACCCACAUUUAAGCCAUUAGAUUAAAAUAAGAUGAAAGGUGGAGAUUUGGAGUAAGUCUAUAAACUUACUCUUGGAGUCAAAAUAUCCUCUCUCUCUCUCUCUCUCUCUCUCUCUCUCUCUCUCUCUCUCUCUCUCUCUCUCUCUCUGUAUAUAUAUAUAUAUAUGAGAUAUGAGAUAGAAUCCGUUGACACUUUAUAUUGACACCAAAUCAUAUCCCUUGAUUUCAUUUGAUCCAAUAGCUCCUAUUAAUUCACUUAACCUUGUACCUAUGUGUGAUGCACUGAACCACACCGUCGUCUUCAUUCUCACGUUAUACGUACGCCGUCUGCUAUCUGCAGUUUUCGUUCAUCUCUUCUCCCCUUGCACACCUUCACAAAUGCUUCAUCUAUAUUAUGUGUUGCUCCUAUCGAAAUUAAAACCCACUAUUCAAUUAGUGGUGGAUAUGAGUUAAAACCUUGUACGCUAAUUCUUCAAAUGGAUCCUCUAAGAUUAAUUCCUCAAAUUUUUUGAUUAGAUUUAUGAAAUCAAUAAUAAUUGGAUGACGUUAGAAAACCGAUGGACAUUAUUUAUUGAUUUGCUUCAAUUUGUGCAAUUUUAGGUGAGAAAAAGAAAUUGCAUAUCAGAAUGCAUAAUAUAAAAUAAAAAAUUGUGGGUUUGGUAAAAUGAAAAACUAUGUAAAUUAAAAUGAAAACCAAGAGUUGUUUCCUUUGUUUGGGUAUGGACAAGGAAGUAGCCAAGAUACAAGAGACAACAUUUUUCCAUUGUUGUUCCUGUAUACUUUGUUCAGCAAGAUUGAAAAGGAACAAAAAGAAAAUAAGAGUGCACAUUACAGUGAAAAAGGCCUAUGUUAGUUGAUUUAGUAAAUAAUUAUAAGCCUGUUACAGUGAAAAAGGCCUAUGUAAGUUGAUUUACUUUUUUUAUUCUGAUCUAUUUAAAUUAAUGGUUUUUUUAAAAAGCUUGAAUCUGACUUAUUUACUAAACAAGCUAAACCGGUCUGGGUUUUAAGUAAGUCGAGUUAUAAGCCCCUAACAAACGGUCUGGCUUAUUUUAGGAUUUAGGGUUUACCCAAAUGAUCCCUCCACUUCUCCCUUCAACAUAUAUAGCACAACAAGAAUCAAAACCAAACCUAACUCGUAAGAAUUCUAUAGUCAUUGCUUUUGCCAACGUCUCGUACAAAUAAAGAAUAUCAAGAUUUUAUUUUUGGUUAAUAAAAAGUAGUAAUGCUAAAGGAAGAGACAACCCCAAAAAAAUUAGCUCUAAUAUUUAAUGUAAUACUACUAUGCAUGUAGUAGGAAUAAAUGGGAAACGUAUGCUCUUUUUUUUUUUUUUUGUUACCUGGGAAACGUAUGUUUGAUUGUUUAUUGAAUAGUAGAAAAUUGUUGUAAAGGAAUUCUUUUUUCGACGUUAUAAAGGACUCUCUUUAUGCAUCUCCAAUAAACACUAUCUAUACUUUGUAAAAAGAAUACAAAAAUAAAUGUGAGCAUUGAUAGGGAUAUGAUAGCAUCUAGGAAUCGGGUUCCACCUUAGUUUCUUCUCCUUUAUCCAUUACUAACAUAUGAUUUAUGGUCAAUUUUCAACCUCAAAGAGCAUUCCUUUAAUAAAUAGUUUCCCGUUUUUUUUUUUAUUAUUUAAAUAAUCGAUUUUCACAUCUAUUUAGUUUAUUUCUCUAAUUUUUUCAUCAUCUUAGUGCGACGUUAUUUUGUUUGUCGUCUUUGUGUGACAUUGUUUAUCUUUAUUGUCUUGUUUAGAUGUUUGUUUCAUUCAUAUUGUCAUAUCAAGUUUGAUGCAGUGCAUGUUCAAUCAAUGAUUUAAAAAUUGUCAACGUUGUUGUGAGUUUGUUCGUGGAUUCAUCAAUUUUGUUUUUAGCAAAUUCAUAUUGUAUCGGUGUACUCUAUCAAUUUGAAUGAAUAAUAUCAUUUAUUACUAAAAAAAAGUACCGGGUACAAACUUUAAAUUUUCCGUUUAGUUAUCUUAAAGUGAAUUUUUAGCCACUAAAUUAUUUUAUUAAAAAAAAUCACUAUAUAUAAUGAUUAAAAUUAUAAGCGUAAUUUCAGGAGUGAACAUAGACCUUUAUUCAAAAGGGAAUGAACAUAGACGUAUAAUUAAAGGAGAACGAUAUUUCAUUGUCAUUAAUUUGUUUAUUGUCACUACGUGAAUAUUUUCUAAUUAUUUCGUGGGUGACUGCGACUGAGUCUAUUCAACAAAAAACAAAAAUCUACCGACUAAGUCUUCUUAUAAUUCCAAGACAUCGACUUUGAAUUUUUGAUACAACAAUGACCCAAUCUCACCCAAUCUUAAGAGUACUAUCAUAAUUCAUACAAAAUAGGUCAUAUUUUUCGGUCCUUAAAUAGGUCAUAUUAUAUUUUUCGGUCCUUAAAAAAAAUUGAUAUUUGAUUUUUUAAAAUUAAAUUAACAAGGGUAAAAUUGAGAUAAAAAGUGAUAAACUGUAAGUUAUAAGAUAUUUGAAGCAGCUUAAGAAAAAUGGUAUAAGCUCGAAAAAGAAAGUUAUAACUCGUGAGAAAACUUGUUUGCUAAAAAAAUAAAAAAUAAACUCGUGAGAAAAAAAAUUGUUAACAGACAUGUUUUAUCUUAGUCAUAUGAGAUCAUAAAUUAUAAAUUAUUUGUUAUAAGUGACAUUAACCCAAGAACAAUUUCGUAAUAGUGUAUAUAAAAUAAAAUCAUUAAUUAAUAUGGUAAUUCAGAAUAUUUUGAUUGAUUUUGGAUGUAAAACUGUUUUGGACCGUUAAUCUACCACUAUUAAACUCUUAAUACAUUACCAAUUUUUGUUAAUAUGCAAUUGCAUAAUAAAUUAUUUGUGAUUAAGAUAUCAACUGUUAAUUUCUCAAUUUACUGAUUACACGCUUUAGAAGAAUAAGUAAAUUAGCAUUUUAGUUCUCGGAAUAAUAAAGGACAAAUUAUUUAUUCACUAAAAUUUGUGAAAUAAUAAUUAAUCAAUUAAAUAAAAUAAUACUAUCAAUUAAUUCAGUUCCUCAUAUCUUAUGAAAAAUAAAUCAUCAACAUUUAUAAAAGAUUUGCAUGUUGACUUUUUUAAUUUGUAAAGUUCUAACAUAAAUAACGUGGUAAUUUGAAGUUCGAUAUAAUGUUAAGUGAAGUAUGAUAAAUGAUUGUUUUAAGUCAUGAUUCGAACUCAGUUUUUUUCGAACAAUUUAUCUUAAACAAAAGUUAAGUGAGCACUUCAGCUCAACCGCUCGACUGAAUUAUAUAUUAAUUUAUGUUUUUUAUACAAAAAUAAACGAUAUUCAUUCAUUUAAAUUGAUAUAGUACAUCGAUACAAUACGAAUUUAAAAUUGCUAAAAACAAAAAAGGAUGAAUCUACGAACAAACUCAGAGUAUCCAUGUUAAUAGCAUAAAACGGUAGAGUAUAUAUGCCUACAAAUAUACCUAUCAAGCCACUGAAAUACUCAUGUUUCGGAUCUGCAACGUUGACAAUGCAAAAGUCAUUGAUUGAAUCUGCAUUUGAUCAAAGCUAAUCUUUCAACCUGAAUCAAAUAAAAACCGCAUUAAGACAUGAAUAAAAAACACACCGCACAAAGACGAGAAAUCAAAAUAAAUAAAGUUGUGCUAGAUGACGAAUUCACAAAACCAACAAAAGAAAGGUGAAAAUAUGUGAAAAAUUACUUAUUUAACUAAAAGAGAAAGAGAAACAAUUCAUAGGGGUGAUUUCGUGUCAAAAUUGAUAGUAAGUCACACCUUUUUGGUAGAUGAAGAAGAAAAAAAGUCGUGUGACUAGGGUUUAGGAAAGGAAAAGUGAGAGAAUUUCUACCUUAUAUAAUUGAUUUUUUUAUGUUUUAAAACCAAGACAUUUUCUACACGCGACUACGACAACUAAUCUCUCAAUGUAAACGAAAUUCAUCGUAGAAGUUGUCAUCUCUCAAUAUAUAUUAUCUAUACACAAUGAUCAACAGAUUAAAAUAAUGACCACAUAGCCGAGAGACUCAAAUAAAUAUUCAUCAAUUUUGUUACACCAUAUUGGUAUAUAACUUUCAACUAUGUGGUGUUAAAGUCUGAAAACACGACUAAUUAACUAAUACACUUUAAAGUACUAAAGUAUUACUAUUUAACGAAUUUUAGGACCCACCAUGACACCAUUGCAAUAAUUUCAAUUGGAAAAAUAUUUAGCACCGUUUGGUCAGACUUUUUUCGGUCUAAAAAUUAUUUUAAAACAAAGUUAAAAUAAAACUCUUUAAGGAAAAAGUUAAAGUUGUUUGGUUUCUUUAUUUUUUUUAGUUUUUUUUUGAACAAGCCAAAAUGGAAUUAUAUAAACAAAAAGGCAGUCCCAAACGCACAAGGUGUGCCCUAGCGACUACCUCCAAAACCAAGAGUUACAAGAAUUACAACCAAGCCACAACAGAAAGACAUUAGCCAAUACCCAAACAAACAAGAGGGUUUGACCACCACUGCUGAGUUCCAAAAACAAAGGUAGCUUUUUUAACUUUAAGUCAACCUAAAGACAACAUCUUAAUCUUAUCUAAUAAACAAGGGAUGGGGGUAACAACAUGAUUAAACAGACGGUUAUUUCGUUCAUUCCACACAACCCAGGCACAAAGAAGCCAAAUAAGUUGCAUAAAAGAACGUCUAGCAACACCACCACCUGUCAAAUGAGUAAACUGUAAAAAAUGAUCGGAAAUAUUAUAUGUGUCCACCCCAUAGCAACCAAUCCAAUCACGCACCAGAUGCCACAGAGAGCCAAAAGUAUUACACAAUAAAAAGAGAUGUUGCACCGAUUCAGGAUGACCACAACCAGUAACACACGAGGACAUGUCAUGCGACAACACCCGUCUAGCAAUCAAAUUAGUCCUUGUUGGUAAACGAUCUCGGAUGAGCCUCCACACGAAAACGAACACCUUCAAGGGAACCUGUUUGUGCCACACCAAAUCCAAAGCAUAGUCCGCUACCUGAGGAACCUGAGAAGUCAACAAACUAUAUGCACCAUGAACAGUGUAACCACCAGAUGGGUCCGGAAGCCACACCCAGCUAUCUGAAACAUUAGGAUCCAAAGAAACAUCAAGAAUUAAAGCCCUGCACUCCUCUAGCAAGUCCUCAUCCCACUGCCAUAACCUACGUCUCCACCUCCACACAUCCCCCCACUGCUCCGAAUCAACAGAAAGCAAGUCCGCCACGAAUAUAGACUUAUUCUCUGUUAACUCAAACAACCGACUAAACCUCACACGAAGAGGAGCCUCCCCUAUCCACCUAUCGAACCAAAAUGAUGUAUCUGCCCCAUCACCAACUCUCCUCAACACCUGAUCCUCAAACCAGCCGCUACCACCAACACCAACCCUACCCCUAAGACGACUCACCUCCGACCACCAACAAGAAACUCUCCGGCCCCCAACCUGCCACCUAAUUCGCCAUAUCUGGCAACUAAAACCCUAUACCACAAAUCACCUCUAUCAACCAACAACCUCCAACACCAUUUCCCUAACAAUGCUAUAUUAAACUCCUUCAAUCUCCUCACCCCCAAACCGCCACACUCCUUUUUUAAACAAACAGUUUGCCAACUUAACCAAGAUAUUUUCCUAUUAUCCUCACUCCCCCCACUGCUCCGAAUCAACAGAAAGCAAGUCCGCCACGAAUAUAGACUUAUUCUCUGUUAACUCAAACAACCGACUAAACCUCACACGAAGAGGAGCCUCCCCUAUCCACCUAUCGAACCAAAAUGAUGUAUCUGCCCCAUCACCAACUCUCCUCAACACCUGAUCCUCAAACCAGCCGCUACCACCAACACCAACCCUACCCCUAAGACGACUCACCUCCGACCACCAACAAGAAACUCUCCGGCCCCCAACCUGCCACCUAAUUCGCCAUAUCUGGCAACUAAAACCCUAUACCACAAAUCACCUCUAUCAACCAACAACCUCCAACACCAUUUCCCUAACAAUGCUAUAUUAAACUCCUUCAAUCUCCUCACCCCCAAACCGCCACACUCCUUUUUUAAACAAACAGUUUGCCAACUUAACCAAGAUAUUUUCCUAUUAUCCUCACUCCCCCCCCCCCCCCAAAAAAAAAAAAAAUUAAUAAACAAAGAUUCAAUAGAGGAGAUUAUACCUGAUGGAGCUUUGAAGAAGGAAAGUGCAUAGACAGGCAAAGAGGUCAGGACAGAUUUGAGAAGAACCAAGCGACCACCAAAAGAUAGAAACCGACUAUUCCAACCUGACAGUCUAGAUUUAAUACGAUUCACAAUAGGUUCCCAGAAACACAAUCUUCGAGGAUUACCACCAAUAGGCAUACCCAGAUACAAGAAAGGAACGUUACCUACUUUACAACUCAACACGGAAGCAGCCUCAUGUAACCAAGACGACGCAAUAUUCACCCCAACAAGCAUACUCUUAUGAAAAUUCACUUUCAACCCCGACAUAGCCUCGAACAACACAAGGGCCGCCCUUAAAGCACGAACAUUAGCCCAACUUUUAGUUCCUAACAACAAAGUGUCAUCAGCAAAUUGGAGGUGAGAUACAACAACCGGAUUAACCACCCCAAUGCUAUAGCCAGAGAACAGUUGAGCCUCAACCAAAGAUUUCAUCACAACAUUAAGACCCUCCGCGGCCAACAAAAACAAAAAAGGAGACAAAGGGUCACCUUGUCUUAACCCUCUCAUCAACGGGAAUUCAUCAGUUGGACUUCCAUUAACUAAGACAGACGCUGUGGCAGUGCUAACACACUCUUUGAUCCAAUUCCUCCAACGGGAAUUCAUCAGUUGGAAUUCAUCUUUAAAAGUUGUUUGACAAAAUAUUGUAUACCAAAUUUUGUUAUAAGAAUAUCAUAUUUUUGGUGUCAUUUAAAAAGAUAAGAAUUUAUAUUAUAUGAUAUUAUAUUUGUUACAUUGUUGGUGUCAUUGAAAAAGAUAUGUUUAGUUUUUUAAUAAGAAAAAGAUAUGCAUAGUUUGUUACAACAUAAAUGUGUAAAGUAUAUAUAAGUAUAAUUUUUUAGGUAUCUAUACUAGUACUUUUAAUUAAAAUCAAAAUUUUAUAAAAAUAAUAAUUGUACGCAUUGCGCAACACUGAAAAAAUUAUACCCAUUAGCAUAACAAAAAAAAACAGACAUACAGACAUAAAAUAUUACUCUAAACGCUAAUGUGUGUGUGUAUAUUUGUGAGGUUGAAAAAAGGGAAUAAAAAUAUUUGGUGUCAUUCAAUGACAGCAUGAAUAAAAAUAUUUGUGAGGUUGUGAUAAUUAAACGAUAUUAAAAUUAAAUAUAUAAGUGAUAAAAAGAUAAUAAAACUCCUUCAAAAAUAGAUAAUUAAAUUGAUCCUCCUUUAAAAAAAAAUUAUAUGGACCGGUUCAAAAAAAAUUAAAUUGAAGAAAAAACAAAUUGAAAUAUAAUAUUAAAAAAUAAAAUAUAAGGUUGCUGCGUGAGUUGAAGAGGAGUGCUUGUGAAAUAAAUUACAAAGAAGUAGUUUUUUGAAGUAGCAUUCAACAACUUUUGGUUAAAGCUCAUUCCAUUCAAAUUUUAUGCAUUCUAAAAAAAGUACUUUUUUUCGAAGGUAUUUUAUUGAUAUUGUGUUUGGCGUAGCUUCUCCUUAAAAAUGUAGAAAAGUUGAAGAAAAAAAAAAAGUCGGGUCAAACAGUACUUUAAUAUACUCAAUUAAAGUUACUAAUGUACUGGCAAGUAACUUUUAGAGGAAGAUUUUCUUUUUUUAAGGAUUUUAGAGGAAGCUUAGCAACACACUUUUAAUAUACAUUUUUCUAGAAUUUUUUUUUAUUGAUUAAAAUUCAUAUAUAUCCUCAUAAAUCAUGUGGAUUUCAUAUAAUAUAAUAGAAGACACAAAUUUUAACCGACAAAUAGAGUGUAAAAAAUAGAGAAAUGAUAUUUGUACAACCACUUUGUGAUAAUUUUUGGACAAUUUUCUCUCUCAUACUCAUAUUAUAUUCUUACUCUCUUCUUUUUUCUCUCUCCAUUAUUUUUGACCAAUGAAAAGAGAGAAAAGAAAGAUUGUCAAAUAGGUUGUACCAAAUGGUUGUUCAAAUAGGUUGUACCAAAUGGUUGUUCAAAUAUCAUUUCUUUAAAAAAUAUAAGCAUUAAAGAGUUUGUUGUUAACAUUAUUUUAAUUUUUUUUAUGUAAUCCACACUUUGAGUCAUGGAGUGCUUUACUAAUUCAUUUUGUUUUUCGCAACCCAAUUCAAGAUUGUCUAGAAACAAAGAGGACUGACCUAAUAAAUAAAUAUUAAAAUAAGCUACUUGAGCUAAACAAUGAGAUUUCCAAACAAGGUAGGUCCUACUCAAGUUCUAUAAAUAGCAUCCCUCACCAUGUCAUAAACCGCAUCACAAGUUAUAUACUAGUUGUAUUUUUAUUAUAUACUUCUCCUUUCAUUUUCUUCUUGCAUAUUAAUCUUCUUUAUCUUAAUAUAUAUCAUGGGUGUUUUUACUUUCAAUGAUGAACAUGUCUCAACCGUGGCUCCAGCUAAACUAUACAAAGCUCUUGCAAAAGAUGCUGAUGAAAUCGUCCCAAAGGUGAUUUCUGCUGCCCAAAGUGUUGAAAUUGUUGAAGGAAAUGGAGGACCAGGAACCAUUAAGAAGUUAUCCAUUGUUGAAGGUAAUUAAGAGCAUAUACGACGUACAAAUAUAUAAUACUUAAGAUCAAAUGAUACAUAGUGUUCACGUAAAAUUGUUUUACACCGACAACCAAUCAAAUUUAUCAGUACAACAAAGAAUUGUGUAACUACCUUUUAUUUAAAAAUUGAUAAAUAUGAUGUGACAAAUUGAAGAGUUGUGAUUGAUUAAAUGAUUCACAAAUAACUAAGUUAAAUUCAUUAUACCAAAUAAAAGUAAGUUAAAUUCAUUAUACCCAAAAAAAAAAAGUAAGUUAAAUUCAAGUGUAUCAAAAAAAGUCAUUCAAAUCUAUUUGGAUAGUUAUGGUAGUAGCCAUUUAUGUUAUACUUUUAUUUUUAAAAUAGAAUCUUGAGAAAUGAAGGAGACAAUACAUAAGCUCGUUCCAGGAGUAUGUCUAACAAUUAUGGACCUUCAAAAACAUGAUUCAUGUGAUUAACGAUACUCGGUAAAGUUCAAAUCGAUCUUUAAAUGAAAGAGUUUUUAGUUAAACUUUACUUGUAUCGAAAAAAGAAUUAUAUAAAUAAUUAUAAUGGUUGUAUUGCAGAUGGCAAAACCAACUUUGUGCUACACAAAUUAGAUGCAGUAGAUGAGGCAAACUUUGGAUACAACUAUAGCUUAGUAGGAGGAACAGGAUUGGAUGAAAGUCUAGAGAAAGUUGAAUUCGAGACAAAAAUUGUGGCUGGCUCUGAUGGUGGAUCCAUUGCUAAGAUUACAGUUAAAUAUCACACCAAAGGUGAUGCAACUCUAUCUGAUGCAGUGCGUGAUGAGACUAAGGCCAGAGGAACUGGACUUAUCAAGGCCAUUGAGGGUUACGUUUUGGCAAAUCCUGAUUAUUAAAUGAAUCUACACUUGGUUUAAUUUUGGUUGUAUCGUGUCAUGGGAAUAAUAAUUGAAGUUUAAGAUAUGGUUGUUUAAUUACAUGAGUGUGGUAGUGUCGGGUUUUGAGUGGUGUUUUGGGUGAAUUUGAUUGGGUGUUUAAGUUCAAAAUCUAUGUGAUGAUGUUGAGGUUUUGUACCAUCUGUAUUUCUUCAAUAAAUAAAGCAAAAGAAUUUCGUAGUACUACUUUCUCUCAUUCUAUCUAUAAAACGUUAUUUAAUAAGCCUACAUGCACUAUACUAUAAUAAAGUCAUUUUCAAGAUCCCACUACUUUGAAGACAAAUACGACCAAACACUAAAAAGAGUCACAUCAUAUAAUGACAUUCACGUAAAUUUUAUCCAAUGUCAUUGUAAAAUAAAUUUUAAAAAAAUAAUAAUUACUCCAUCCAGCCUCAAGUAUAAGUAAACAGUCCACAUAUUUAGUUUAGUCUAAAUUAGACCAAGUAGGGAGUAUUCAUUUGAAAAUGUAAUAUUUAAGACCAUCUCCAACCAUGAAUCAAUGAGUUCGUUGACUCAUUUUGACGGACAUGAAACAUCAACUUUAAGAAUUUUAUCAUAAAUCAUAGGUUUUUAAUUCCAAUGGUGCAUUCACUAGUCUAAAUUGGGAGGAAAAUAAAGGGUUGAAUGGUCAUAGGUUUUGUUAAUGAGUUGAGUGAAAAUACAAGAGGUGAAAGUCUAGCUUAACCACAUAAAUAAACUUGAAGUUUGAAUUAAGGAUACAAGUAAAACUAUUAGUCAACAAUUCCAUCUCAACUUGUUAACUGUAUGAUUAUGCUGCUGAUUAGAUCUAAACGAGAUAAACUCAAAAUUACAUAGCUCCAAAUAGUGGGAAAUUUGGACCAAAUAACCUCCAAAAUGCCAAGAAAAAAUCUGCAUAGGUUAAUUUUCUACAAUCUGUAAAAAAAAAACAUGGUGCCAGUUGCAUACUGCUAAUAUUUAUACAGACAGAUUUAGCAGAAUUUGACUGAAGACAAAAUGUAGAUUGAAAUUCUUGCAGAGCUUAAACCUUAAAUAGAUCAGGAUUAAAUUGGAACCUAGUUAGUAGUUAGUAUCUCUCCAUUAACCUCUACCAGCAUAAUUAUAUCACAAUUGAGACAUUGAAGAGCUAGCGACUGAUUAGGCAGUGUCCCUCAUAAUCUGCAAGAGAAGCAAUGUUUCAGAAAAAAUAUACGUAACAUUAACAAUAGUAAUGAAAUUCAAAACACAUGACAGUAUUUUUAUUAAUGAAGAGUAAGUUAUAAUACCAUUCAACAAAACACGAGUUAUGACAUAUUCCUUCAGUUUGCUUAUUUUAGACUAUAAAUCAAAUUUUAUAACUUCUGCUAUACUAUAGAUACCACUGCAGUGCUACUUCAGAGACAGUAUAUGAAAUUUUAGAACUUCUGGUGUACUAUAUAGCAAUCCUGAACAUUCGGUGUUCUAUUUGCUUCAGCUAUUUUUUCAAUACGGACAACAGUGUUCAGCAACAACUUAAUAAACUAAAUAGAAAACAUUCGUCAAUGCUAGGCUAGACCUCCACUAAAAGUAAUAAAUAUUGGACAUCGGCAUUUAUCCCAAUGAAUAUGAAGAAGAAAAAGAAAAAGGAAAAAAAAAAAAAAGAACUGGACAUAAAACGUGCAUAAUUGUCUACCAAAAAAACAAAAUUUGCAUAAUUUACUUUUCAAAACACUACCUGAGAUAUAUAUUCUUUGACCUUGUUAUUUAUGGGUCCAUCUGAAGCUCUCUCAGCAAGCUCAUAAUAUAUGAUAUUGCCUUCAGGACCAUGAACUUUGUCCUUCUGUAAAUACCUACACAGCAAAAGAUGAAUUAUGAAUAACUUCAAUGUUCAUUGUUUUUUUAGGGAAACUAUGUGUGUCACAGAAUGCAAUGAAUCUUGUAAUUUAAUUUCACCUUUGCUGAACAAGAAGUUCCAAUGUUUGUUUAAUGUUUCCAAGGAUAGGAUGAUGUGCUUCAGUGUCACUCAAACUCAUCCUAUUCAAUUGGCUCCACAGGUUUUCUGCAAUAUCAAGCCAUAUCAAGUUCCAUUGUGUUAAAAUGGCAGCAUCACAGAUCUCAAUUACCCUUGAAAUUUUAAAUAUCAGAACCUUGUAUAGUUAUAUUUAUUGCAUUCAUCUAGAGACCUUAACCUAGCAAAAUUUGAUUUCCACAAGUUCAACAAGUGCUUAAGAUAAUUAUAGCUCAAUGCAACUUAAACUAUACCUUCUGGAAUUUUGCCACCAGCAAGAUGUACAAUACUAAUUAUGACAAACGUGAAACCAGACAUGUGCGCUGAAUUCGCAUCCACAACAUAUUUUUCAUAUAAAUCAGAAGGAAGUCGACUAAUGAGAAUAUAUGAUUUGGCAUCCGCACUACCUGAAAGAUCACAUGUCAUAAGCUUAUAAUGAGAGAAAAAGUAAAUGAAACAAGGAAAACACAGUUGAAAAACUCUAAGGAAUGCAAACAUAUCUUUACAAGUAAAAAGCAACGUAGAACACAUUUACUCAUUCACUUCAAAUCUAUGUACAAAACACGUCCAUUGAUUUAUGAAAACAGUAAAAAAUAUUUGAAUGAAAACUUAAUUCUCUAUUGUCUAACCAUCGGUAAGUUUGUAUAUAGACAGCCCGACCAAAAGGCGGCCCAAACUAUUGUUGUAGACUUGUAGUAAGCCCACAAGAAAAAAAACUUAUUUAUGUAUUAUUAGUAUAUACAGAACUUUAAUCCUUAGCUUGUCAAGCACAAUGGUAAUUCACAUUUGCUUUCUCUUAACUUUGACUUGACACAAAAUGACAAAUGUUGCCUCUGCUGGAUGCAACUCAUGAGAAAUCACAAAAACACCUCAUUGGAUGGUGUUUCUCCAAAUCAACUUUUGUAUGUGUCUUACCUCACGAAUGUCAUAUAGAACCGUGGAUUAUGUAUGCUAUUUCUCUGGGAAAAAGGUUUUAUUAAUAUAUACUAUAUACAAAAGCAUCAAUAAACUAGCAAGAAAUACAUUAGUAAAAUAAAUUUUCUGCGGUGGAACAAGUCCUGUGAUUUCAAUUUUCAUGCAUUAAAUCCCUCGUGCUGUAUAGCAGCGCUCACCAAAAUAUACUUUAGUAAGACCUCUGAAUUUUGUUACUUGUUUCUAUCACUUACUUUUUGAUCUAAAAACUUACUGUAUUUAUUACUAGCAUUCACAAAACUUUCAUCCUUAGCUAGCAUAGAGCAAUGGUAACCAACAUGUACUCUUUUAUGGGAUCUGAUCCCUGCUUGAUCAAAAACCAUGGCUCCUGAUUUUCCUUUUACUAUCUCACAUGUUAUUAGUUUUAAUAAGGUUUUACAUUACCUAAAAACUUAAAUCACAAAGCAUAUCAAUUGUUCAUAUAAUAUACAUCAUAAUGCUAAAGCGAUGUCCCAUUAUUAAAACAUUGACAAAACUGAAAUCAACAGACUAAGAAAUUCAGAUUGUUACAUCAUUAUGUGCAUAAACUGGGCAAGAGAAAAACUCACUUUGUGAAGCACGUGUCUGAGAUUUUGAUGAUGGGACAGACCUUGAAAGCUCUCUCAUUUCAUAACCAAACACGGCGGCAAGCUUGUCCUUAGCCUCAUUGAUGACAAAAGUAGGAAGGUUACGCUGAUGAUAAUUCUUCGUAAUAAGCUGAGUGAGUUCGUCUCUCUUAAUUGGGCACCCUGAGUUUUGAUGGGUCUUGAACAGCAUGUAUCGGAUAACCUCUCCAACAAGCUUAUCCUUUUCCUAAAAUACAAAUCAAAAUCAAAUCAAACAAUCAAAUACCCUUGUUCGCAAAAAACGAUUGUGACUUUUUCAAAGGAAGAUUGAACACACCUCUUUAGAAAUUCCGAAUUGGGAGAAAUCUUCAAUGUUGUUCGCCAUCCUGCAAGCAUUGUUAUGAUAAAUUUCAAAUUUGGUUUUCGAAUUCAGAAAGAACCAAUACAAAAAUAAAAUGAAAUGGGGAAAGACCGUAGUACCAACACUUCUGAUUUGAGACGUGUUCGACACGUGUUAGCACAGACACCGACAAGACAUGUGAUUGCAUUAAAUUAUGUCAUUUUCUCAAAUAUCGAUUAAUUAACCACGAAAUAGUGAUUGACUAACCAAACCAGGCAUAAUUCAUCGACAUUCACAUCACAAAACAACAAAUCAAUGUCUAAAUUUGGCUUAUCAUAAUUCAUAAACAAUUCUGAAACAAGUUUGGCUUAUCAAAACACAUAUGUACAAAGCAAUUUUCCUAUUCCCAAUUCUAAAACCCUAAAACAAGCAAUUGGAGAAUCGAUUGGAAAAUUCAAAUAGGGUUAUUCCGCAAAACAAAUUAGGGUUCAAAUUUUAAGAGCCAAAUCAAAUUCUAAAACUUGGGGUUUGAGAAAUUAGCAAAACUAUAAUGAAUUAAUAAAGCAAAAGGGAAAAGAAGAAGUAAUGAAAAAAGAACUCACGGUGGAUUCAAGUGUGCCGGAAGGAGAGAAGCAGAGAAGUAUAUCUAAGUACACUGGCGGGAACAAUUCUGUCUCUCCCUCUCGCUAUCAAUCAAUUAACUUAAAACAAAAAUGAUUUAUUGUAACUUUUUAGGCAUAUUCAAUCAUCCGUCCUUUAACUUAAUUCUCAACUCGGUCUCCUAACUAUAAUUUGUUUCAAUUUGGUCUCAUAUAUUUUGUUUUGUUAUUAGUUUUAGUCAUUUCUGUUAGUUUCUCUAAAAAAACGUUAACAGAAAUGAUUAAAAUUAGCAACAGAGCAAAACAUAGAGGACCAAAUUAAUACAUAGGUUAACGUUUUUCUAGAGAAACUAACAUAAAUGACUAAAUCUAGUAACAGAGCAAAGCACAAGGGACCAAUUGAUACAAAUUAUAGUUAGGGAACCAAAUUGAAACAAUCAAUUAAGUUAAGGGACCGGAUGAUUGAAUAAGCCUAUUUUUUAAUAAAAGUUUGGGUUAUUUUUGACACAAAUUUUUACACCAAAAUAUUUGAGAACACUCGAAUAAAAAGGUAAAAAUGUCUUUCAAUUUAACUAGAGAUUAGUGGUUUAAAUCCAAUUUUGAUAAUGCAACAAUGAUAAUAUGAAGGGGCUAUGCUCCCACCUAGGGUUGGGAAUAGCUUAUGUCGAGUUAGGUUUUGCGAGACCUAAGUUUAGCCUGUCAAAUUUUUUCAAGGGUUAAGUCUGAUUUUUUGAAAGUCUGAUAUAGCAUACUAACUUGUUUAAAGGCUUAUAUCGUAUUAACAUUUUUAAACAAGCAAUGCAAUCUAAGUUUAAAUAGACUAGCAAUCAAUAUAUCGAUUAGAUUAAUCUCUCUUUUGAUAAUCAACAUCAGUUUUUAGGGAAUUCGACUAUAUACUAUAUUAUAUUUCAAUUCAAAUUUAUAAUAAUACAUUUAAAUGUGCAAAAAAUUAAUGUAUACUAAUAAAAUUAAAUUACUGAAAAAGUUAACUAAUUCAUAUUUUAAUUCAAAGUACAAAAUAUAAUAUAUAAAUAAUAAUAUUAUUUAUAUUUACUUAAAUAGAUCAGUCUAAGAGGCUUUUUGAAUGGCUUAUGACCUAACCUUUUAAGUUAAAUAGGAUUUUAAAAGAGUCUAGGCCUUCUCUAUUUAAAGAAAAAAAAAGUUUGAUUUAAUUUGUCGUAGACUAAACCAUAGACUCUUGUAGGUUGACCUGAUAUAUUUUCAUCCCUACUCCCACCAUCCUUUGUUGCCGCUGAUCAUCUUUUGCAGGUACAUCAAUUUUAUAUUUUAUUCUUAUAAUUAGAACUAAUAAAACACCGGUGCGAUGUCACAUAAAAAUAAUUACAUUAAUAAUAUUAUAAAAUAUUUACAGAUAAUAAUUGAUAAUUAUCUGUGUUCAUGUAAUGUUUAUAAUAAAAAAACAUACGCAAAAACAUUCAAAAAAAAAUAUACGUAAAAAUCCGUUAAAUAUUUACACCGUGUCCGUUGUAGAUUUUAAUGUCUAUAUUUGCGAAAUCAAAUUUUUAUGUAUCGAUAUAAGUUGCGUUAGAAAUAUUAUACUCUACUAUACAAACAAAAGUUAGGUCUUUUUAUUAAAAAAAAUGGUUAGGUCAUUAAUAUAAACAAAAGUUAGGUCUUUCUAUUAAAAGAUGGUUAGGUCAUUAUAGAGUUUAGUUUUUUAUAUAUAAAAAAUUAUUUUAUUUUAAGUACCAUAAUUUUAAUAAAAUCUGAAAGCUCUUAUAAAAAUAUUUUACCAAACAAAUCUUAACUUAAAAAAUACAAAUUAAGUUGGAAAAAAACAACAAAUGUCACACAACUUUAACUUUAACUUAAGUUUUAAUUUUAAACUUUAUUCUUAAAGUAACUUUUAGACCUAUAAAAAAGUAGGAUCAAAUGCACCCUAAAUACUACCUAUGUAAUAGUGUAAGAAAGAAUUGCAACGAAGUGCAGCUUAUCAUCCUAAUAUAGUUCAUUUAAAGAAGCAUUCCUUUAUUGAAACGUAACGUGGAUGCAGCUCUUUUGAAUAACAAGGUUGGUAAUUGGUAUCGCUAUGUGUGUUAGAGAUUAUGAGGAUAACUUUGUCGAGAUUAAAACACAUUUUUUACUCCAUCUCUUCAAGUCAAAGAAGGAGAGGCCUUUGGUUAGUGUAAACUAUCAAAAUAGAUUGGUAAAUUGAGGCUUAACACUGUUAUAUAUUUUAUGCAAAAUCAGUAGUGGAUAGCUUUAAUAAUUUAUGUUUGGACUUGUCUAUCUAUGGUUUCAUCAUUUAUGUUCAAGCUCGUUAGUUGAUUCUCUAGAAGGAAGGUCAAUAAGGUAGCCCGUUACAUGAAUAUUUAUUUAGGGACGAUUAUAUAUACGAUUAAUCCUCCAGUAAUUGAUUUGUUGUCGGAUUGUAUUGCUACUGAUUUUUUUAAGCAACCAAAGUCAAAAUAUAUUUAAAAAAUCCUCAUCAAACAUAAGGUGUGUCUAACAGGAAUAAGAACAAAGUAUCAAAUACAAAAUAAAACUGGCCAAAAACCACUGAUACAAGUUACAAAAUAAUAUAUCCAACCUAGAUUGACAUGUUAAAUUCUAUCGAGCAAUUAUAUGAAACAUGUUGUAAGAAAAUAGCACUAAUAUAAAAUAUAUGUAAUCUGCAUAAAAAUAAAAAAAGUAGUGGACAUUUAAGUCUCACCAUAUAUGUCUAACACAAGUCCUCCUCUUGACCAACCGUCUCUAGUUUAACUCAUCUUAAUCUAACAAAAAAAAAAAUUCAAACUAAUCAUAAACACUACUCCAUCCGUUUCAAAAUGAGUGUCAUUUUAGCCAAAAUAAAUUUGUUUCAAAAUAAAUGUCACUUUCAGUUUCUAAUGCAAUAAUAACUUUUUCUUUUCAAUUGUACCCUUCAAUUAAUGUUAUGUUACACUACUUCCAAAGUAUUAUUUUUUAUUUAAUGAAAAACAAACCAAUGGUUGAUUAGGAUAAUUUAGUAAAAUUAUAUGACAUUUGACUACUUUCUUCCAUUCCUUAAUAUGUGUGCAAUUGACAAAAACGACACUCAUUUUAAAAUGGAGGGAGUAAUAUUUUGCUAAAAUUAUAAAAUAAAAUAAAAAAAAACCUAUACAAACUACAUUGUACUAUACUUACUUUUGAUUUUUUUGGAGUAAUUUGGAUGAAUUUCGUGAAAAUGAGCUGGUGAUUUUGGUAGAGUUUGAAGAUUAAAUGAUUCUGCAGAAACUGAAGUUUCUGCCUCUGUUAUGUUUUAGGUCGCAACGGUAGUUAACCACCACUGAAAAAUAAAAGCAAACGAUAGUUUACUACCGCCAAAUAGAUCGCAAUAGUAGUUAACUCAUGUUAGGGAUAUUUGCGCCAUUUCAAUGUGUUUUAAUUUUAAGAAAUUUUCAAUUUGAGAAUAGCAAUUUUCAAUGAUUUAUGCAUGUACAUAUGAAAAUUUGACUUAGGCCCAACAUGAGCCCAAAUCUAAACUCUCAUACAAUAAGAUUUAAAAAAUUGCUCUUUUCCCACAAAAAGUUACUCACUUCCAACCAAACUUUCUAAAAUACCCUCAUGUGACUUAAGUCACUCUGAAACUAUUUUUUUUUUUUUUUUUUUUUUUUCAGUUCAAGCAAAACUCGUCGUUCUAGAACAAGGUUACAACUUACACCAUCACCACCAUACUCGACGGUCACAAACUUCACAUAAACCCAGUCGGCAAUAUCCAAUUUUUUAUUAUUAUUAUUUAAUUUAAAAACCUUGUUAAUGAUGAAAUCCAUGUGAGACUGUUCUAAUUGAUGCAAACUUAACAUUUUCUAACUCUACAAUAUCCAAAUUCUGAAUCCAGCAACUAUAGCAAACCUAACAUUCUAAAUCGACAACAGGUGCCAUCAAAUAGUAAUCAUUCAAUUUUGAUGUUUAGCUUCGUAUAAAAAAUAUGGAAUCAAUUGAGUUGUGUUGCUAACGGUGAUGUUUAGCUUCAACGUGACUUAAGUCACAUUGUGUUUAUCAUCCGCAUGAUUUAAGUUCACAGGGGUAUUUUAGAAAGUUUAGUUGAGAGUAAACAAUUUUUUAUGGAAGAAGAGAAAUUUUUAAAGGAUUUUCCUAUUUUCAACAAAGUCAUUAUUUCAAAGACAAGGAACCAGAUAAACCUAAAUUACGUUAGUAAUCAUCCAAAUACGAUGAUGUAAGAAAAUUAGAGAAUUCAACCACCAACAUCUUUGAUAAUUUUAUUUAGGAAAGCAUCUUUGAUAUAUGUCCACCACCAACCUCAAACAUAUCCCUAAUUUGAGUAUGUCAUUUAUAUUAUACUCCAAACUAAUUUAACAUGCUUGCCAACCUUAAACUACAAAUCAAAAAAGGAAACCACACGUAGUAAAUACUAUUGUUCCCACUCAUACAGUCUUCAAUUUUGUGAAUUUUUUUUCCACAUGCAAACCCACAUUUAAUUCCUAUGUCAACCUCUAUAUUACUAUAUCCCUUCUAUUUGAUUAAUACCAGUCAACAACCUCACAUAGUGAAAAUUUAAUACUAAGCUAUGGCAAAAUUUUAAUACCAUUGUUCCCACAUAGUUUCAAUUUUGUAAAAAUAAUAUUCCUCACGCAAACCCAACUUUAAUCCAUUCACUUCACAUUUAAGGAAAACAGUAGUUCCAUAAAUUGGAACAAUGUUGUGCCAAUUCAUUCCAUGCAAUCACACAAAAUAAAAGAAAAUCUCAUUGAUAUAAUAUAAGCUAUGGCAAAAUUCAUCUCUGCUUCUUUUGUUUUAGUUCUUCUUGUUGUGACAACUAUGAUCAAUGGAGCCUAUAGUGCUGAAAGAGAGGAUGAUUUGGUGCCGUUGCCGCCUGGUGAAGCGGAGCAAUUAUGUGAUGAUUGGCAUCAGUUAUGUUCAGAUGAUCCAGUAUCUAAUUCUGCCUAUUGUGACCGGUACAAAUUGUUUUGCUCAAUUGCACCUAAUGGUGGUGAUUCUCCUCCUCAACCUGAAAGUACUCUUCCAUGAUCAUUCUUAGUGAACAUGGCUGGUGUGUCUUAAUGAUAUAUCUAUAUCUAUAAUAAUGUUGUGUGAGUGUGUGAGCAUUAUAAUAUCAAUAUUAUGUAGCUAAAUAACCUUUAUGGGAGGCUUGUGUGAACUUUGGGUAUGUCUGCUCCAAAUAUGUAGUUUUACUUUUAUAUACUAUAAACUAUUUGUAUUACAGUGUCAUGUUAUAAAUUACUAUAUGAAAUAUUGGAAUAAAUUGGUGUACUUUAUUUUGUAGGGAUAAUCUGAAUAUAUAUUGUCUUAUCUUUAUUUUAGUUUAUAUAAUCAAUUUUUUUCAUUACCUAUAUGAACACCAUAUACAAACGAGUGUGAAA